This 49771-nucleotide long non-coding RNA is filed under the name Prunus persica (peach). RNAcentral's name for it is "long non-coding RNA (PPER_LNC007295)". The record is from RNAcentral. Lineage: Eukaryota; Viridiplantae; Streptophyta; Magnoliopsida; Rosales; Rosaceae.
AUGUGCCAACCUCCUAAACUGAUGGACCAUUUUUUAUUAAGGUGAUGGGCCAAUUUUCUAAAAUAAUGGGCUACCUAUUUCUUUCCUUAUGCUUACCUACAUAUUUGGGCUCAAGAAAUGAGCUUGAGUUUUAGGGUUCCCAAGCAGCCCAAAACUUCCAUUUCUCGACUCAUUAAUGGGUCUCAUACUUGUUACCAUCCAUGCCACAACCCACUCAACAAGCCCUGAGCAUUUGAGUGGCUUGAGCCCACUUAAGCUUGUAGCGUGGCUAAGUGUAAAAAUAAGGAUCUUUCUGCUUGGCAUUGCAUGUCGAUUGGCGUGCUUGAAUUUUAUCGUAUUUGAAAAGGGAUAUGAUGAUUGACGGGAUAAUUAGCAUGAGCUCGUAGAGCCAGUGCAUUUUAUAGGCUCAUUUCAAUUCUUAGCGUGACGGAUUGCGUAUUUAUCUGGCAUGACAUGUGGUUGUGGCUCGUGCAAGCGUGCAUGACGAAUUUCAUGUGCUGGGCUAGGAAUUUAUUUGGGCCUAACUCUAGAUUUUUUGGGCCUAAACAUGGGUCAACUCAACUUUGACCCGUCAAUAAACGGGUGGAUUUCGAGUUAACCUGCCAACCCGCUAAAAUACCUAUGUAACCCAUUUAUUAAACGGGCUAACCCACCAACCGGCUAAAAUACAUAUGUGACCCGCCAACCCAUUUCUUUGUUUCUUCUUCAUUUUCUUCAUUUAUUUUAAUUCUUAUAUUUCUCUUUCUCAGCAUUCAUACGUAGAAAGAGGCAAAAUGUAAUCACUAUUUUGUAUAUAAAUAAAAAGUAUAAAAUGCAAUUACUUUAUUAAAUUAUCAGAAUUCAGGAUUGUUUUUUUUAUUUAUUUAUAAAAAGUAUAAAAUGCAAUUACUUAGCGAGUCAACUCGACACUACCCGAAAUCUGCACGGGUCAUCUCGUAUAUGACACGUUUAUUAAACGGGUUGGGUUAGGUUUAAACAUUCUUGAUACGUAUAUAAUCCUGACACGACACGAACCCGAUACGUCCUAUUACCAACCCUAAUUAGGAGUCAUUUCUCUCUCCUCGGAUUUAGGAACACCUAGAGGUCUCCCUAUUUUAGGAGGAGGAUAGGAAGGAUGGUCGGAGUUGUAUUUUUCCAAUUGCUCCACACAAAAAAUUGUCUAAUGAGGUGGUUUAGGGAGCCCAUUGAGGAUGCUCUAUCAUUAUAACUUAUAGGUUUAUUAACUAAAGUGCCCCCAUAAACUUUGGUCAAAUCCCACUUUUCCUAAUGAAAUUGAAAGUGACCCAUAUUGCCCCUUUGACCGUGGUUUUAUGGGUCACUUUGCCCCAUGCCAUUAACUUUGUUCCAAACAACAUAAAAAAAUGCUGACGUGACAGAGAUAAUUUCGUCUUUUUGUCCCAGCUGACUAUCUUCUCACUAGUAUGAGAGGGUGACAUGGCUAUUUUCCCACUAGUAUAAGAAGGGUAUCCCUCCUAGCCCCAAUCUCCCCUAGCCUCUUCUUGAAUUAAUUAGUGUAUAGUGAUUAAAAACUUUAAUAAUUAUGAUAUUAUAAAUAAAGUAUUUUAGUUUUAGGUAUGGUGAAUGGAUUUUGAGGUUUUUUUUUUUUUUUUUUUUGUGUGUGGAUGAUAUGUUUGGUGGGCCAAAUUGGAUGGGCCCAUUUAAAUUUAUAGAGGAAAAGUCUAUUUUGCCCCUUUUAGGUUAAAAGGGCAACAUCGCAAGAUGGACCACCGUUGAUGUUUGCUGGCCAGACAUGCCGCCAUUGGUUGGACCCACAUCCGACACCUUUACUUAAAUUAAUAAUUAAAAAAAUAUUAAACACCAUGCCAUUUGUAGGAUUCGAACCUCUAACCUCCACUAUGAAAAUUAUUCACUUUUCCAACCAAACUAUACCACACUUUUGAUAAUUUUGGAUUUUUAUUAACUAGCCCCUCAAAAAUUGGACAAACCGGUUUAGUCACUGUCUAACAGUGACAUAAAAGAACACUUAUGUCAGUGUUGAACAGUGACAUUGAACAACUCUCGGGUCACUGUUCGACAGUGACAUAAAAUAACUCUUAUGUCACUGUCAGACAGUGACUGGACCGGUUUGUCCAAUUCUAGAGAGGUUGGACCAUUCUAACAUUUUGUCUUGGGUGAAUGACAUUUUUAUCAUUUCUGAUGCACAACUGUGUUGUAAUUUCUAUUAUAUAAGUCUAAAAAUAUAAAUAUAAGAGUACUCUUUGGUUAUAUGUUUAUUUUUAUAUAUGUAUUAAAUGGUUUGAAAUUGGAUUGUGUUGCCUUCGGAAAUACUGAUGUCUUCGGACAUCCCGGUUGUCUUCGAAAAUAUUUAAAAAAUAUUAUACCUAAAAAUGAAUCUUAUGAAAAUGUGCUACUUCUAUCCCAAACUAAGAUUGACAUCAUGAAAAUUAAAGGAGUUUGUGCCAUUAGAAUUAAUAAAACCAAAAUAAGCUUUCAAAUCCUUUAUUGAACCAUUAAAUUUGAACUUAACAAAAAAGGGGCCCUAAAAGAUAUCGUGUAUAUAUUGCUUGUUUGUUAAAAACAUUUAGAAAGCAUUGAAAAAAUUAACUUAAUUUAUAACAUGUGUAAACAAAAUAAGAAGUUUAUUAGUUUAUCAUACAUAUUAUAUUAUUUUGAUUAAGUAUAAAAAUGAGUUUAGGAAGUGCAUUAAUUAAAUGUUUAAAAAAGAAGGGCAUAGGCGACCAGUCCUAGGCCAGGUCGUGGGCGGACUGAGGGUUUCAAAUCCUAAGCUUAAGCCUCACCCAACCUUAUAGCAGGUUGGGCCAAGUGAGCCUAACCAUCAGACAGGACUGAGCUGAGCUUUGGCCCAUCUAGCCUUGUUUGCUCUUGAGCAUUCAAAAACUAUUUUUAUUGCUCUUACUUGAGAGUGAGUAUGAUUGCAUACACAUAAAAUUCCUCCAAGUACAUUCACAUUGAUUUCGACUUAAUGUUUCGUUGUUUAAUUGUUGUAAUAUUGAUUUAAACUAUAUGCUUCAAGUUCAACACUUAUAGUUUAAUCAUCACAACAUUUGGUUUCAAUUCUCUAGCUUAAUCAUCAUUUGUGAUUAAGAAAGAUGAAUUCGUGAAACCACAACUCACUUCAUAUAUCAAAUUACAUGCAACUUGAGCUUGGUACUCUUGCAAAGACUUGGAGAAGAUUUGCUACUAAGAGGUAAAGAAAAGGUACUUGUUGAAAGGUUAGAUUGUAGCUGCCUAUAGGUGAUAGUUUGAGCUAAGUCUUCUUUCAUUUUUCUAGUACUUCUUAACAGAGUAGGUUAGAACUCUCCUGGCUUGGUGUCCCAAGUUUUUCCCCUUGUUGAGUUUCUGGGUCAAUAUUUGUUGCGUGUUAUUUACUUAAUGCUUUUUCUUGUUCUUUAUUCUCCACAUCAUUGUUUGUGUUUAUUCAUGUGUGCGCCUUUAAAGGACUUACAAUUUAAAAAGGUAGGUUAUUACCAUAUAGCCUACUUCACACAAACCCACACCCCCCCUGUAGGCUUUUGGAGCUUAAGGCCUGAUUUUACAAGUUGUUCUACACCAUGACAUGAAAACUAGGGCAACAACUACAUCGUGAAGGCAUUCCUAUGAAUAUGCCCGCGUACGUUCUUCUCAUAUCAAAGGUGAUGGCUUUAAAGCCCAUUUGAGCUGAAAACGUUAGCUAUUUCAUUUUGGUAUUCUUUGGGUUGGUUUAAAGAUGAAAGGGAAUUUUAAUUGAAAAGGGCCUUGACUUGCAGACAAGAGGGCUCAAGUUCGAACCCACAUGGCAUCUUGGUUGUGUGUGUGAGAAACCUCAUUCCCUUGUAGUUUAGAUUAUCGCUUAUACUAUUAUUUUUUUAAUAAAUAAAAGGAUGAACAGGAAUUCCUAGUUAUCAUGAAAAGAGUGUUGGUACCUGGCUAAUAAUGGUUGAGAGAGGGAGAGAGGCUAGUUGGUGAUGACUUUGUUUUGAAGAAAUGCUAUCCACUACCAUUUUUGAAGGAUUUUGUGUUGAUUUUGCAUUUGAAUGGCAUUUUUACAAGGAUGCCUAGAAUAAGGGUUCCCCAUUAGACUGGCUGCUUUUUUCUUUUUUCUUUUUUCUUUUUUCUUUCCAUGUAAGGAAGUAAAUAAAAACUUAGAGAUUUGUUGACGGGUAGGUCCCUAAUCCUUGUUGAACUCUCAUUAGAACCCUACAAUGCAAUUAAGUAUCGUUAUGUAUACUCCCAUCAUAAAAAGAAAAAAUAAAUAAACUCUUACCACAAAAUAACCAUAUCUAUUACUAUAGCACAGGCAGAUUACCAAAACAACCACUCCCUUCCUACCCUGUUCAGACAACCAUUCAUCUCCUUUGAUUUUCUUAGAAUGUCAUCCGUCUCUUGCUUCGGUUUCAUUAGCCUCUCUGUCUAGUUCGCUUUGCCGGACCAGCUGUUGCUGGUGCGGCUGCCCUUUUUGAGGGCCGUCCCACACUCCUUUUCGUGGGACUUCCUUGCUCUUUUGCAGCUUGUCUCCCACCAGAACCUCUGCGCGAACCUUGAUCUUUUUGUGCAUUUCCCUUGCCAUUUCCAUUUUUCCUCUGCUCUGCUCUUCCUCCUCUGCUGUUAUUGUCUGGGGUCUUUGAUGUCUCUGCCGAUAAUCCAGUUUUGGAUGUGGAGCUCCUCUUCAUUCUACUCAAAAAAUCUGCGGCGCUUCGCUUUUUCCCACUUGAAUUAGUGUUGCUCUUCUUUUCCGUCUCAGCUUUGGACUCUGAGUUCUCAUUGCUUGUCACUACUCUGCUUGAAAACCCGUCAUUGGCUUCUGAAUUCCUGUCGUUGUUAGUAUUACCAUGGCUCCUGCCAUUUUUGCUCGAGUUGUUUCUUGAACUGCUCCUGAGUCUUUCUUUUCUUCUUUUCUUGGUGACGUGAAGUUUCUCAACUUCAUCCGAGGAUUCUUCUUUUUGCUUCCAACUUAUAGCUGGCUUGACAUCACGGAAUGAGGUAGUGAUUUGCUCUUUUUUUCUGUCUGGUCCAGAAGAAGAUGUUGUGGAUGCUCUUGCAGUAAUUGAGCUGCGCUUGCGACAAGCAUUCAGUGGAAGUGAAAGUUUUGAUUUUGCUAGCAAUGAAUCCGACGUUUCAGGAUCCUGGUUCAGAGGUGGAGCUGGCGGUUUCGGAGUUUCUUCUUUAGGUGGUGGAUCUUGUUUAGGAGCCUGAAGAACCAUUUCCUUUGAAACAAGUAACUGAAGCUCGCACGCGGCCUUGUAUUCUGGAGACUUUUUCCCAAAGAAGACUAUGGCAUUGUUACAAAUAAGCAACAGAUCUCGAAAAAAUAAGAAUCUGCUGCAGGGUUCGUACCGACCUCCUUCAAGUCUGGUUUGCACCAAUUCAAAAUCUACAUGUUGCCGAAUCAUGUUUUUAUAAAUGGGGGUCUCCUGCAACAUUAGAGAACCAUGAAUCACACUGUCAUUUAUUCUGCACAAGUAACCAAAGUUAUUAAAGAUAAGAUGACACGUUUAUGCAAAGAAUAAGGUCAUCCCAACUCAAAGUUUUGACAUUUUAGAAAUCCAAUUACCAAUUAGCUAGAUAUGAGACUAGAAUCAAAUUUUUACAAAAGUACUUUUGGGUUAACAUUUCAUUCCAAGCUGGUGUUGUCUUUUUUGAUUUAUUGCCCUGCAGUUUCUGAGUUGAAAGCGCAAUUUUGGGCCCAUGAGCUUUGGCUUGAAUGGCAUAAGCAUGAAGGGGGGAAAUGGUAAAUCUAGGUUCACAUCUUGCCAUAAGUUGAAAAAGAAAAGGGAACAGCCAAUUAUCACCAAGCAGAUUUUAUCCCAAUAGAGCAACCAAAUCUCAUGCCACUACUAACUUUGAUGAGGGAAACAACAAAAAAUGAGAUUCCUGCAACAAGGAAAUGGUGGGGCCAACCACUUUUGUAUGGUCAAAUUGCACCAACGAGAGUUGGUAUAGCCUUAUUGGCCAAGGAUAGAAUGCAAACUCAGAAAGUAGCACGAGAAAGAAAAAGUAUCCCUUUCAAAUAAUAAAAAUCUAAAGUUAUUCACCAUCUCUAAACAUGGUAGCAUCCUCAAUUAGCAAAUCCCAAAAAACCACCACCAAGCAAAAGAUGAAUAAUUUUUUUAAUUAGAUGAAUCCGCCAAAUAGUCAUAUUCUUUCGCAUUGACUAAUUAUUAAUUUCUUCGACUUAUUGAAAGAAGUUCUAAAUUCAAAUUCCUCUUCCUUCAUGCCAACCCUUGACAUGAUGUGGUACGCACGGCUUAUCAACUAUAAUAGUAUUAGUAUAGAUUCUUUUUUCAACAGAACAAGAAAUUAAAAACUAAAAACCAAUAGUCUAUUGAGACUGACUACAAAAUAAAAGGAAAUAUCUAAUCGACAAAUCGAGUAGGCACAUAAAGACCUAUCCACCCAACUCACAUAAAUACUUCCAACAAGGUACCAACUAGUCCUUUUCAGUCGAAUUUUUAAUACACUUACUAAUAUGCACCAUCACGUACAAUAUAACCGCUCUCAAAUAGGGCAAAAGAACAACAUAACGUCACAGCCAUUAAACCCGCGGUGACAUGUCGCUACCUUAUUGGACAGCGACCUCCGACCUAAAGACGUCGCCGUUUACUUUAUGAAAACAAUACUAAUUUUCUUUUAAAUAAAUAAAUAAAUAAAUAAUAACCGAACCUGGGAAUGAAGCCGGCGCUCGAAAAAGGAGGCAAACUUAUGAGACCGAAGGAUCCCGAGGAAUUCAGCCAACGGCUGAGAUUCAACGGGGACGCCCUUCAUGGCGGGAGAUUCAUCCUCUUGGUCCGGUUCAGAUGGUUCUUCCGGUCUGUCCGGACCGCCCGGUCCACCCGGUUUCGGUUCCUGCCCUAGUUUUCUCGACAAACUCGCCGAGCUCUGCACCUCACUGUUACUCGGACUCUCCUUCGUCCCCUCCUCCUCCCUUCCUUUCGACUCGGCCACCGAUUCCUUCAACUCGCCGGAGUUCCCCUUCUCCGCCUCCACAACCGCCGUUUCCUUCACCACCGAAUCGGAGCUUCCAUUACACGAAUCCUCCACCACCGGAUUAUCCAACUUCUCCACCGGUUCAAUCUCCUCACCCGCCGGUUCAGUCUGUCCGGAGCCUUUAUCAGCAUCGGCGACUUCGGUUUCGGGAAUCUCGUGUUUCGGAUCUGUCGUGUUUGAUUCGUUACACGACCGGUCGUCAUGCUCGGAGACUUCGCCGGAGAUACCUUUCUUCUCCGGCGAAUUGUCUACCGGUUCGGCGUCUUUGUGUUCGAUCUCUUCCUCUUCAGUCUUCUCUAGAUCCGAUUUUUCGACCGGUUUUUCGGUCUCUCUCAAACUCUGUUCGCGAACCUCCUUUAAUCUCUCCACCUUCAACUGCAGAGACCUACACGAUUAUAUCACACAAAUAAUUGAAUUUAAUAUCUUGAUUAUAAUAAAAAAUUCAAAUCGCUAUCGUGAUGGAUUUAGAUUUCUACACGAUGGAAUGGUCGUAGCGUUGGAGUUCACGUCGGAGUUCAUCGAGACGGCGUUGUCGUAACUGGUCUAGCCAAGGAAUAGGAGGAGUAUCGUCGUCUUUGCCGGAAGCGGCGUCGUUUUGACUGAAACGACGUCGGAGGUCCUGGAACUUGCGUUUACAUGCGUGCGGGGUGAGAAGAUGGAGAUUGGAACUGCGUUUGCGGAGUUCGGUGGCGACGGCGUCCCAGCUCUGCGUGCCGAAGCGGUGGACGGCGCAGGCGAGGAGGAGCUCCUCCCACGUGCCCCAUGAUGGUGUUUGUUUCUCGGGAAAAUUGGGUUUAUCCAUCAAGAAAAUCAUGUAGUCACUCAGUCCAUUGUCACAACUUCCCUCUGCAACAACUGAUUUAACGUUCAUUUAACAUGUUUGAUUGAUUUUAAUUCCCUUGGGUCUAUUUGCCUCUUGGGCCUGUGUUUUUUUUCCUUCCUUUUUUCUGGUUUUGUUUUAAUUUUAAUUUUAAUUUUAAGUUUGUUGUGUUAGGAAUAGGCACUCAUCUCGAGCAUGGGGACUUUUGCCUUUGUCGGCCAAAAUUACUAUUUUGUCACGUAUUUGUUUUGUCAUUGGAAUUUAUUUAAAUUACGCUUUUGCCCUCCUAAAUUGAAAAUAUCAAUUUUGAAAUAUGCAAGUGACUGUUGGCCGACGUGUCCAUCCAAGUGACUAGAUUUAUUCGUACGGUCAGGAUUAUGAAACCCAAUAAAUCUGUCGUGGAUGUGACUGGCUCCAAAGGUCCAUAAGCCACACGCACGCGCAUAACAUAACACUUGGGUUUAGAUAUUAGAUUGGGUUUGGGCUCUUGGGCACAAUGCCCUCCCAUACUCCUACUAGUUCUUUCUAGUGGUCCAAUGUACAUUUUGGAGAAUCUUACCUAAAAUAUGGGAUGUAGAAAUAAAUGCUCCCAAUGUUUUUUUUUUUUUUUUUUGGUUAUUCGGAAAAGUUGGAUACCAAGCAAAAGAAAGAGCCACGCAUGUAGGCAAUUUAGCAUUUUACACACUCGUGAAGAGCGAGCCUAUUGUAUCGUGAACAUAAUUACCACAGAAAUCAUCAAAUUAAAUUCGUUAUUUUUCGGAGAUAGAACACAACUAUUGUAAAUGUUUUUAAAUGUUUUUACUUUUUUUUAAUUCAAUAGCCAAAAUGCAAUAAACUGGUGCAUUUUACUCUUGUUAUGCUACAGUUGAAUCAACUUCUUAAUUCAAAAUUCAUCCCUAAGUAUCACCAUUCUUACUAUUUUAUUCAGCAAUUUUUACACCAACCACAGAACAAAUCAAUAACAAAAUACCUAACAAAUACCAAAAUAAAUAAAACAAACUAUAUAACUUCGUAGCUCUGCCACCAUCAGUGAUUGAGUGCCUUCUUCAAUUCCUCACUCACAUCACCCUCCGACGGCCCUUUCUCGCUGUUUGACCGCCAGUCAACUUUCCCGCCAGAAUUCCUGCCCCCAAUAUUGCCUGAAUUUGAAAUCGACUUUGUGGCGCCGGCGAUUUCCUGCCUGAGAUCCUCCACAGCCUUUCUCAGCAACCCGUUCUCGCUCUGUAAAGCCUCCAGCUGACGCUUCACCGUGAAGCAAGCCUCCGCCACCUCGGCAUUUCCCGGAAAUGUCAAUCCCUUUUCCAUCUCUGCUGCCUUCGUGGUUUUACCCUUCGAAUCUGCAACGUCCACGUGUUCGAUCCCGAUCUUGUUCAUCACCAGGAACGGGAUCUUGUGAAACGCAAUCGGAUUAGCCCCAGUACUCUUCAUCUCCGCCGGCACCCUAACCCCCCACCGCAAGUUCACCACCCCCCGGUUCCACACCGGCAUCGACGUCCUCGCCGCCAUUUCCACGCCGGAAAACACACCGGCGAGAAUUCCGGCCACUUGAUUUUCCGAGGGCAAAACCGUGAUUUUCUUCCCCAUAAACGCAGUAUCCACUGCUGGUGUCUCCGCCGAAACGACGCCGUCAGCUGGACUUACGAUUUUUUGAAAGACAGAGGACUGCGACUUCUUGAUCGAGAAGUCUCCGAACUGAGGCUUGAAGUGGAGCAUGAAGCUAGGGUUUUUCCCGCUGCCGAGCAGAUUGAACUCGGCGCUCAUGAGCAUGGAACUGGAGAUCGGCGAGCCGAAGGGACCGGUCCCAGUCUUGACGACGAGGGAGAAUGGGUUGGACGAGUCAUUCGGCCGGUAACCGACCCGGAUGGAGGGUCCGGAUUCGAAGAAGGUGCCGAGGUUGAGAGUGAGCUCCUUAGACUCGCCGGCAACGAUUCCAGAUUGAAAAGGCAGGCCCAAUAUGCUGAGGGGCACCUUGGCCCUCAACAAUGGCUUCUGAUCCUCGCGGAAUUUGACCGAAGCUUUCAUUUCUGGUUUUGUAGAAAACCCUAAUUGUGAAAUUUGGGGGGGACGAAAUUUAUAUCAAUUUUGUCUCCUGAGAGUUACAGUGAAAUGAGUUUUGGCUGGAUUUGAGCUUGGCGUGUGAGCUGGCAUCUGCGUCUUCGCUUUUGGGUGCGUCCGUCAAAAUUUAGCCCUUGUGUUUUGAUGAAAUUACAAAUCUCGUAGUCUGAGGAUGCUGUAAUAUUUAGAACUGUUUAGGCGCAUGUGUGUGCCCGCUAAUGGGUCAGGAGCGUGGUGUGGCCACACGUGGCAAGAAGGUUUUGAAUUUUUAAAAUUCGGAAGUCUAAAAUUAAUGAAUUUUUGAAAUUUAAAAUUUGUGGAAAUAAUUCCCGAGUGGCUAGCUAGGACCGUUACGCGCGGAUUUGGUUGCCUAAUGUUCGCUGCUAGUAUAUUCAAAUUGAAUCGUGCGUUACCCAAAAACUAAAAUUUGAAACGUGAAUUCAUGAUAUUAUUGCUUUAAGAUUUUGCAUUUCCAUAAGGUGGAGUCUCCAUUCGUGAAUCCAGCCCCCAGAUAGUCUAGUGAGAAAGAGAUGGGGGAACAAUGAAUGAGAAUCAUGAUAGGUAUAUAGUUCAAUUUCCCCUAAUAUAACAAAUAAAAAUUAAUUGUGAAAUAGAUUAAACUACUCUAACUAUUAGGCCAUUUUUAAGUUCAUUGAACCAUUUAGCAUUUUCACAUUAAUACACAAACUCGUACACAAUCUACAUGCUGAGAUAAUAUUAUUCUAACUCUCCUAUAAUUAUACUAUUAUUGACUUGAGCUCGUAAUGUUUUUUUACAGGUACCCCCCUCCUUUCUCAUUGGUGACACUGACAAAAAUGAUCCAUAGCUUCUCAACAUGAAAAAAAGAUUGCUUGUUCGAGGAGCCAAAAAAUUUCGCUCCAACAUCUACUUAGUUGAAUAUUACGAUAUUGGCAUAUAUGGAUAUGCAAUCUUGUAAACGAGGCCAAACUAAGCAAAUACUUUUCUUGCAUAUUGCUUUAGGUCGUAUCCAUGCCAUAAUUUUUUUUUUUUUUUAAAUCCAUUUAAUUAGCCCCAAACUGAUGAAACUGACCAACGCAACCCAAUCAUAAUAGGGUUUGGUUGGUCUGGGUUGACCUAAUAAUGAGCCCUUUUUUGGCCCAAUAAAUCUUACACCGUUAUGUAUAGGUUAGGUAACACAUUGAGACCAAAAUCGACCUAACCCAACUCGUGCCCAUCCCUAAUAUUGACAGUGUAGAUGCCACAUUUUAUGCUUACUUGGACUGUCAAUAGCUCAUGCGUGUCUCUGACUCCAUUCAUUUGCUCGUCGUGGAUCGGUUCGAAUUGUGCUUCAAUCUAUUUAAACUUGGUUUCAAUGUCUUCGUCUCGUCCCAACUCAUGUGCGAUUUAUGUUUUCUGUGGGUGGACAUGUCUUGGCGGUGGCAUGAUUUAGGACAAACUAUGGGUAAAUUCUUAUGGAGGAAAAUAAAGAAAAUCUUUUGGUUCAAAAUUGGCAAGAACACACACAAUAAGAAAGAAUCACACUAGAUAUCAGUUAUGGCCUUAAAAGGGGAAGAAAGAUAUAUCAUUGGGUUUUUUGAUUGGUUGAGCAAGUUUGAAGCAAAUAUUAUGGCGAGGAAAAUAUUUUAUUCAAUGUUUUAUUUUUUAUUUUUUACUUUUUUAAAAGAAUGUAAUAGAUUGCAUUCAUAAUUCAUGCCUAAGGGUGAAUACAAAUACAAAUAACUAUAUAGGGUUAAUACAAAUACGGAAGUACAAUAACCACAAAAGGGUUAAUCUAAAUACGAAGGAAUCCACCGGCAACAACAAGCCAACAAGGUGUACCUCUACUCAUAAAGUCAAAGAAAUUCCAGCAUAAAAGCAAUUAAUCUGGAAAAACCAGGCAAAUACCUCAUUGCACAAAACUACAAAUGUAACUACAACCUUUAAGAUCUAAUAAGCUUUGUUAUUUUAUUGAUAUUAUGAUUUGAUUGGUUUCUUGGUAGUUAAGUUUAAGAAUAAUUUGGAAUCUUUAAGAAUUCCUACGUGUAUUAGGGUUUUGAGUUUACUAUUUAAACAUAAUUUAUGCAGUUGUAUUUGUUAGCUUUUAUUCAUAUUAUAUUAUUAAUAAAAUUCAGAGGGUUUCUCUCUAUUUUUCAGGUGGAUUUCAGUUUAUCAACUUUUAGGGUUAACAUUUGUUUUCUCUUUAUCUUAUUAUCGUGCUUUCGUACCGUGUCACGAGUCAACGGAACAAUGACGACUCCCUCAGGCAUAGGUGGUUGUAAGCUGGGGUGGGGGUGAGGGAAAAGGGUGAUUGGUCCGAGUUGGGCAUGCAAGUUUUGUUGUGAGUGGAGGGGUCGUAUGGAAAGAGAGAGAGAGAGACAUGAAGUUUCUUUUUAUUUUAUUUUCAAUUGUUUCUUAUUUUGUAAAAUUUUAUCCACAUAAGCAUUAACCGACUAUAAGUGCCCGUUUGACAUUGCUUAUUUGAGGUAAUAAGUGAUUUUUAAAAAAUUUUGAGAUGCCCAACCCGUUUGGUAAACUGUGAGAAAAUCACUUAUUGUUAAAAAUUGCUGUGAAAGAAAGCUAUAAGGGAAAGCAGCUAAUGAAGUGCUUUCAUUUUCUGAUUAUGUUGGAAUCAAUUUCAAAGAGGCGCUGGAUUUAAUGAUUAUGUGUAAAAUCAAUACCUACAACACUUUUAACAAAAAUUUUACCAAACGCCAAAUUGCUUUGUCUCACAGCUGAUUUCUCUCACAGCAAAUCUGACAGCGAUUAUUUUCACAUCACAGCAAUGCCAAACUGGCCCCAAGUGCCAGUUUGGCAUUACUUAUUUGGAGUGAUAAGUGAUUUUAAAAAAAUUUGGGAAGCUCAGCCCGUUUGGUAAACUAUGAGAAAAUCACUUAUUGUUAAAAAUUGCUUUGAGAGAAAGCUAUAAAAGAAAGAAACUAAUGGGGUGCUUUCAUUUUCUAAUUAUGUAGGAAUCAGUUUUGAAGAGGAGUUAGGUUUAAUGAUUAUGCGGCAAUCAUUUUCUGAUUAUGCGGGAAUCAGUACCAACAACACCUUUAACAAAAAGUUUACCAAAUGCCAAACUGAUUUCUCUCAUAGCAAAUCUGACAACAAUUAUUUUUACAGCACAUCAAUGCUAAACUGGCCCUAACUUACAAUAUUAGACAAUUAAGAGAUUAAAAUUUGUAGGUUUAUCCAAUUUCUUAGCCGUUUGGUUUAAGGUUUAAUAGCUUGGUAAUGUGUAUGAAAUUGUAUUCCUAUGUUGAUAAGUGUAUCCUUGGGAAUCCAAUAUCCUAACUCAUGGGUAUUGUUGGAAAACUAAGCGCCCGUUUGGUAUCCUAUUAAAAAAAAAAAAACUUAAAAACUAUGAUUCUUUUUAAAAUAUGAGUUUUCAAAUACAAAUUUUAAGAUCUGAAAACUUGUUUGGUAUGCAACUUCAAACCUAUUUUUAAGAUCUUAAAACUUAUUCCAAUGAAUUAUUAUUUUUAAUUGAAAAAAAAGGAAAAGCACAAAAGAAGCCAGGACCUCUCUUUCUACCUCUCUUUAUCUGAUGAACCAACGAAUCCCAACAGUGAAGAAUCAUGAACUCAGGUUUAACAACAACAAAAAAGGGUUGCAGACGACGCCGUCGCUGACGAGAUUUGGGCCGAAGCUGCUAUCAUCGACGACGAGAUUUGGGUCGUUGACAUCGUCGUCUUACAUCAGAAUGGUCUCGAUCUCAUCGAUCCAAUCUGGGGAUGAGUUCGAUGGAGCCUCCCCCACCGUUGAUGACUCUGUUGAUGGUUAGGGAGGAGAGAGAGAGAGAGAGAGAGAUGAUAGAUGAUAGAUGAUGAUAUGGGGGAGGACAGAGACGUGAAAGAAGAGAGAAAAAAAAAUGGAAAAUCUCACUUUUUUUGUUUUCAAUAAUUUGGAUGUUUUUGAGUUUUUUUGGGUUUAGGUUUUUAAAAAUGGGCUUACCAAACGGGUAUUUGGGGUUUUGGACUUAAAAUCUGUUUUUGAGUUUAUAAAAUUGGAUCCAAGUAGGAUACCAAACGGGCCCUAAACAACUUUUCAAUCUUAAUCUAUAUAUAUAAAGCAAAAGGCAGAGAAUGGUGAAACAUUUAAAAUACCAGAAAAUGCCCUUGGUUAAUGCAAACAUUAAGAAUUGAAAUUAUUAAUUAAAUGAAGAUAAUAUGGUAAAUUCAUAAUUUUUCGUAUUAAAAAAAUUAAAAUUAAAAGAAAAUUCAGAUAAUGGAUCCUAUUUUUAUGGAACACAAAUAUCCAUUAUCUUUUUUAAUUCUAAAAUAAAUUUAAAUUUAUUUUUAAAAAAACCUCUCGCAUGCGCAGAAGCGCGUGCAGAGAGGCUAGUACUGCAUAAACCAAACAUGAAAAUGAACAUCUUCCAUAUCCAUUACGUGUGAUUAUGCAUGGGAAUUUCAUUCCCAAGAAAUUCAUCCACGACCCAAAUGGCAAAGCCCUUCAUGUAUGAGUUUAAAAAUAUUGAAUAUUUCCACCGCACUUCAAAAUGGCCUAAUAAUAGGUGUAAUUUGAUGUAAUAACUAUAAAAUUACACAAUUUACUAUUCUAUUAUAGUAGUAAAAAAAUUUAACUUAACAAUCACUUUUCAAUUGUAAUCUUAAAUUGCCCUUUAAAUUUAUUUUUCAAAUGAUAAAUUGUAAUUAACUUUGAUAAUGUGGAGGGAAAUUGCUGAAUUUGGUUUGGUAACUAAAAAUAGUUUUCUUUUUCCUAUAUUGUUACUAUUUCCAUAUAUAGAUAUACACACACAACAAUAUCGAAUGUAUCAUUAUGUAUAGCAAAGCUCAAUUAUUCUAUCAUGUAUAGUCAACAAGUUCAAAAAUAGUUUUCUUUUUCCUAUAUUGUUACUAUUUCCAUAUAUAUACAUACAACAAUAUCGAAUGUAUCAUAUCUAUUGCAAAGUUCAAUUAUUCUAUCAUGUAUAGUCAAUAAGAUUUGAACUUGAGACUCCUUCAACAAAAUAUAUGCUAUCAUUAGGCCAAACGUUUCUAAGAGGCCGAAACGAUAUUUGACCCAAGAAAUCACCCACAUAGGAAUUUUCCUUUUAAAGAAACAAUCAUUUUUCCUUCCUAAUUUUCGAUUGUCAUUUUAAGUAAUAUAUAUAUACAACCACUCCAUACUUUAGGUUGUAAUAUACGUUUGUCAACAAGAUCUAGCUUAAUGGAAAAAGAUCUUGACUUUCAAAUUAUUGGUCUCUAGUUUGAACUCCCAUGACACCUUGAUAGUCCAGUGGUCUCACGUUCGAACUGUCAUGGUACUUGAGUAGUGUGCGUGUGAGAAACAUCAUCUCUCUUGUGGGUUAGACUAUCGCUUAUAUUAUAUAUAAAAAGUUGUAAUACAAGUUUUAUUUUUCCUACCAACAAAAGAAAUGAUAAAACUUUGACCUAUAGCUUACGCAGGAAGAUUCCCAUAUAGCUUGCACAACAAUUUAAAGAUGAAAGAAAUCUCAACCGUCCAUCGUGCUGACAAACGCGUGCAUUUGUAAUAAAUCCGCUUCGAAAUCAGAAAAUCAAACAAAGCCCAACAGCCGCGUAAAACAGAGGAAACAGAGACGAAGAGGGAAAACAACUCUUCAAAUUCCGAUGCUUUAGGGUUUUUCAACUUUUAAUAUUAAAUUUUCAGAACAAUUUUCGAACUUGCAUAUUGUGCUAUACGAUUCGUUAGGGUUUCACCACAGAAAGUAACCUUCUGAAUACAUUGAAUUUGCCAUGGCUCUAUUUAACCGGGAAAGAAACUCAGAAAAUACGUAUUUUCCCUGAUUUUUGCUUGGUUUCGAAUUUUCCCGGGAAAGUUACAGAGAAAGUUGAAGUAGUUGAUUCAAGGGAUGAUGGAACGUGAAUUGGCCGGUAGCAGUAGCCGUGGAAGAGAUAGAAUGGAGCAGCCGCAAGCCGUGGCUGACCGUAGAGCUCUCCGAUCACGCUAUUUUACUGUGAAGACCCUCAUUCACGGUAUCUACUUAUCAAUCUCUCAUUCUUCAAAUUUUUGAUGAUUUAUUUGUGUUCCCUUUUGUGUGGUUUAUGUGUUUGAUAUUGGGUUGCCGAGUUGUUUGUAAACUUUUCUUCACUAAAUUCUGGUUUGGAAUUUGUUGCUCUCUGUUUGGUUGCUGAGAAAGAUCAUCGUGCUAUGUGUUUUUUCCCUCGCAUUGUUUUGUUUCCCUUAAAAACAAGGCAGUUUAAUUUGAUUGGCGUUCAAGUAGUGAAAUUAUAGGAAACCAUAUGGUUUUAAAUGUUUGUAUCGGAGUUCAAGUAGUGAAAUUACCCUUCUUUUUUUUUUUAUCUCGAGCUUCUAGAUUUAAAAACUGUUUGUUUAUCUAUAUUUCACUAUAUCUAGACCAAAUAAUAAUCUAACGACUUAAUACAUACACGUUAAAUAUAGCUUAGAGUUUAGUUUCUAUUUUUUCAUUCUCUCUCUCGUCAUCUUCUCCGCAUCUUCCCCGUGCACUCCUCCUUUAUUUUUUUUGCUUCACAACUUAUUUUGUAUCGAUUCAGGAAUUACAACGCUAAUUCCCCAGUUGACAAGAAAGAUUUUUGAGGCGGGAAGAAAUGACAAAUAAAAAAGGAAUAGAUGAAGGAGCUGAUAGGGUGGGGGUGGUUGGUGCGGGUUGGGGAGAUAGAAGUCGGCUAACGUUAGUUAGUUUAGAAAAAUAUUUAUACACUAUAUUAAUAUACGUGUCAUGUCAUAAUUCGUGAGAUUAUUAAAAUGACUUAGAUAUAGUUAAAUGUAGAUAAAUGCAUAAUUUUUAAAUACAUCGGGAUCCCUAGCCUUUUUCUUAUGUCACUUGAACAUAUAUGAAUUAGAGGACAUUGCAAAAAUGGAUGUGUUUGUUGUUUGGUUUCAGGGUUGUUUAAUCUUCGAGCAUCAUCUCCAAUGGGGAUACAAAUGUUUUCUUUGAAAGUGUCCUUUGUUAACCUAUGUGGCAUUUUGAUACUAAAAUUUGCUACCUUAAAACUUUGUCCCUCCAACCCAUCCUUCAAAUAUGUUAGGAUGAAUAAAUAAACAAUUCUUUUGAUUAAAAUAUGUUGUGAGACCCAAAUUGCUAUGGUUAACUCACAUGUUGUAUUUAAGAUAUGAGUUGCUACUUCCACUGGAGGGGCUUUUAUCCUAUUUGGCCUAUCAAAUCAACAUUGCUACCCCAUAUACUAAUUCCAUUGGAGAUGCUCUGUCUCUAUAAUGGAGGUUUGGAUUGUUAUUCUUCCUGGGAUUAAUCUUCAUGUUAUGUGCUUUCUCUUUUUCUCUCCCACAGAAGUAAGUAGUUUAGGGAGGUGGAUUAGUCUGUAAAGACGCAAAUAAAGCCAGUUUAAUUUUCUUGGAGUGUAAGGAAACUGUGGGAAACCUAUGGUUAAAUUUUUGUAUUCUUUUUUUCUAAUUAUCUCUUUUUCUCGUGUCACUGAAACGGAUACGAAGAUGAAAGAGAUGACAUUACAAAAGUGGAUUCCGACAAGUUUAAUUCGAUCAUUAAUGAAGUGGAUAGCUUGCAUGAGAUGGGUAAUUUCCCUUUUCUUAUCAUAGAUUUCUCUUAAACUAAGAAAUUUACAUUUGGGAUGAAGGCUUAAUUGAUUGGUUUGCAAUGAAUUUCAGUACAAAAUCCAAGAGAGCAAGUUGCUGAUGCAGAGGCGCUUUUGGACAUUGCAAACACCUUGAUGACCUCUGUGAAGGCGCAGAACAAGGAAGGAAUCACAGCUACAGAUUUUGUCUCCUGUAUUCUUAGAGACUUUGGGCAACAAAGUGGGCUGAGAAGUAACAGAGAAGGGGUUAGCUGCUCAAUAUCUUGGAAGGAUAUUGGGACUGAAGUCUCAAAUGUUUUCCAGAGAAGCCCCCAAUGCUGCACUAUGUAAUGACAGCUCUGAAGAUCAAUUUUUUAAUAUGUUCCUUCGGUUUCGAUUUCUUUAAAUAAUUAUAUGGUUUGCUCUUCCUUCAGGAUUGGGCCUAUGAAUGCUGAAGUAAAGCAACGGAAGGCUCAUGUUCAUACGAAACGUGUGAAGCCUACAGAAAAUGAUACCCCAGAAGAGGUAUGGGUGGUUUUUGGCUUAGGGUAUCUUCUGUUUUCUCAUGAAACACUGAGCAGUUACCUAAAACUCACUUUAACUUUAUGCAGCUUGAUAAUGUUGCUGUAGAAGAGGAACCUGAGACGGUUAAGAAUGUGGCAGCAAUGUUUAAUAUCUUGAGGAAAAACAGAAGAGCCAGGCUUGAAAAUCUAGUCCUGAAUGGGAAUUCUUUUGCGCAGACGGUGGAAAAUUUAUUUGCCCUCUCAUUUCUGGUUAAAGAUGGGCGGGCUGAAAUAAAAAUUAAUGAAGAAGGCCAUCAUCUAGUUUGUAAGAUCCCUUGCAAUUGCUCACUUUCUUAUUUGACUGAGGACCUCUUCUCUUUUAUUCUCUAUUUGGUGUUAUUGUAUAGUUUUGUGUUUGGUGUUUCAGCUCCAAGGAAUGCUCCUGCUGCCAAAGCAAUUGCCUCAGGGGAGGUUGCUUACUGCCAUUUCGUGUUCAGAUUUGAUUUCAAGGACUGGAAGGUACGCUAAGAUUUUAUUGAUUGAAUGUUUAUUGUAGCUUAUCCAUUGAAUGAUUUUCCAAAUGGUGCAUUUGUGGAAUUUGCAGUUGAUGAAAGAGUCUGUUGGGGAUGGAGAGCAGCUGAUGCCACACCGGCGUCAAGAAAACAUAUCAAGCAAUUCUCAAUUUGAUCCGCAAUGUGUAGAAUCUGAAGCAACCACAGCUAAAACACCAAUUAGGAAGUUAUCCAGAAACAGAGGCUUGGUUUUACAGCUGCGGCCAGUUGGGGGAUGCGGCACGGCUCAUAGUAAUCAAUCAGUUGUAGAAGACUCGCCGGUAUGUGAUUACUCUGAAGAUAGAACUGCUGCCAUCCGAAAAGGGAAGCGUAAACUGAUGUGAAGUAUUUACUAAGGGAGGGAUGAAGUAUGCAAAUUUUGGGGACAUUUAGGACUUCUGCUUUUUAAGUAUACCAACUAGCAGUCAUUUAGCUCUCUGUAUGUCAGAUGCAUUGCUUGGGUUUCACACAUAGGACCAUGCCUUCACCUUCCACCUCUUGGCCCUUUUGGCUAUUUGAUACUGGAAGUGGAAGGUUCUUGUAUCGUAUACUUUCUUUUGAGAGAACCUUUUAGUUUUAUACACAUAUUUUAAUUUUUUAGGUGAAAAUUUCAUCAUUCAUAGAUGGCCCGGUUAGAAAAUGAUUUCUAGCAGCAAUAUUAUAUAUGUUGGUCCUAACCUCAUUUGAAUAAUUUUACAAUUUGAUAAACAAAAUGUUAAUAAAAAGUCUUGGUGGAAAUUUCAUUGCACCCUUCAUUUUGGUCUUGAAUAACAAUUACACCAAUUACAAUGUUAUGUUGGACACAGCAUACAUGAUAAUGUCAAUAGCAAAAAUGGAUUCCAACUAAAAAGACCUACCCUCAUUUCUUCAAUAGAAAGCAUGAAUAAGACCCGUGUUGUUUUUUGACUGCUAUAGCAUUAGCACAGCGCUACUUUGCUGCUUUUGGAAUAUCAAGGUUUUCAAAAACUGGGCUGUCAACUCCCACUCCCAUUGCAUUUAGACCAUUGUCGACGUAUAGAACAGUACCGGUGAUAGCUGAUGCCAAUGGUGAUGACAGGAAGGCAGCAGCAUUCCCCACUUCCUCUGUUUCCAUGAAUGGUUAAAGUUUAUGUAAGUUUGCGAGGUAAAAAUCUUGUCUAAUGAAGAAUGGAAAAUUUGGAAAUUCAUGCUUGCAUUUGGUUGUGUACUUAAUUACUCACCAGCAGAUAAUUCUUUCUGCAAGGGUGCAUUUUCCGAUGAGUAAUCAAUCAUCAUAUCAAUGAACCCAAUUGCUUUUGCCGCACGACUUCUUAAUGGUCCUGCAUAGGGGGGAAAAAACAUAUGAACAAGAAAAUGCGAGAACAUGGAACUAUGCAGCAUUUAGGGUUCAACAAAAAUGUGAGGUCUAGAUAAGUUUGAAGCCCCGAUAAGCUAUUUGGUGACACAUCUGCCAUCUGAAGACCAUUAUUGCAUAUCAGCAUCUUAUAUCGAAUGUUGAGGGUUGACUUUAACCAAGAUCCACGUACACUCAUAUGAUAGGAAGAGGUGCACCACAUCUCUUCAAAGAGAUGUUAAUCAGAAUCAUCAAAUAAGACAUUUAAUUUGAUGUGCAGAAGGGCAUCAACUCCUAAAUUACUAAAUAGCUUUUAUCAUCAAAGGCAAUAACAUCAAUAUUUUGUUAUCAGAAUGUAAACACUUUUUCGACCACAAGGCGGUCAUUUUAUGUUUCCAUUAAGUAGAAGACAGAUUCUGUCAACAGAAAAUAACUGUAGUACCAGGCAGAAGGGCAUCAACUCCUAAAUUACUAAAUAGCUUUUAUCAUCAAAGGCAAUAUUUUGUUAUUAGAAUGUAAACACUUUUUCGACCACAAGGUGGUCAUUUUAUGUUUCCAUUAAGAGUGGAAGACAGAUUCUGUCAACAGAAAAUAACUGUAGUACCAGCAGAUAUUGUGUUGACUCUAACGUUGUGUUUUCUUCCAGCUUCGAAGGCCAGCACCUGAAUCAAGGGUAGAAAUGUGAUAUAUGUGUGUAUAUAUGUUUCAUCACCAAAAAAAAAAAAAAAAAAAAAAGAGAAAAAAAAAGGGAGAAUCUAGAUAUGGUCAGUCUAAGAACUGUUAUAAAAGCAAAACAAUUAAAGACUCACGCGUGUGUCACUCUCUAGAGCAGCCUUCGCUGAACUCAUGCCUCCACCAUACCCCGGAAUGAUCCUUUCUGACGCAAUGUACGUUAGAGAGAUUGAAGCACCACCUGUCAUGUUAAAAUUUACCUUUAGAUUCUAUGCUGUCUACAAAAAGCCACUGCAACAUCAUGGGAUUCUUGAAAAAUGAAGAGGGGAGGAGGGGUAGGAGGAGAAAUAAAGCAUUAAAGUUAGAACUGUGCCUGGGUUAAUUAUUGGAGCAAAGUGCUUGAGUAAAGAAACAUAUGAGUAACUCGAUGCAGAGAUUGCUGCAAGAUACCCAUAUCUUGAUGUCUCCAAAAGAGGUUUAGUAACCUGUGCAUGAUACAUUUACUGCCUAAGUACCGUGAAGAUCUUAAAUGAUGUUGCUAAACAAAAAAUGUGAAGACAUAUUCACCUCUGGUCCAUUAGCAAGUGAGUGGACAAGGAUAUCAAUGCUGCCAAAAUCCUGUUUUACAGAUUCAACAACCUCCUGCAAAACAUUACAGAAUUAGCCAACAUACCCAAGCUGGGCCAGUUUUAGUAACCCAACAUCUGGAAACAUAACCUAUAACAGAAAGGCAUAUAAGCUCGACCAAAUUCAAGCAUGCAAUGCACCGUGGACAUCAGUGACCAGAGACACCUGGAAACAUAUGUUUCCACAUAAGCUUGAGGCAUUUCAAGCAUGUAAUUCACCAUGAAUUCUAGUGACCAGAAACAUCUGGAAUUAUAAAUUUUAACCAUUAUACGCAUUACACAUUCUAUUUUUCAUCUUAAAGAUCGCACACAAGAGCGUCAAAUUUCAUGUCUAUCUGACUAGGGGUGGAGGUUUCUGUCUAUGUGUCAGGUCUGAGCUAUGGGAAAUAAUUUCAUUAUACUAGAUAGGCCAAUCUUAUGUCAAAACUUCAUUUUCUUUGGGAGGGGGAGGGGGGAAGGGAGGAGCCAAGGUCCUCACUAGUGUGCCCUUCCUUUUUCCUCUGUGUGUCACUUAAAGGCUAAAAAUUUAGUCAAUAUCUGAGAGUCAAUAAAAUCUUACGAACUUCAAUUGAACAGUAAUUUAGUCAACACAAAAAUGAUACCUUCACAGUCCAAUUAGAGGACCCCAAGUAGCGCUUGUUGGAUUUUACCUGUACAAAACCACAAUAUGAGCACCACUACAAAUAUAAUUUGACUUUAUUGUAUAUUCCAAAAACUUAAUAUCAGGAGAUUCAUACAUCUUCAGGGACAUCCUCAGGAUUGUCAUAAACCGCGUCCAAUGGGUAAACCUUGGUAAUUUCCAUUAAAGAGCCAUCUGGCAAUCUGAAAGAAAAAAAUAGAAAUCAAAAGAAAAACCUAAAUCAGCAAUAAACUUCAAUAACAAUAACAGAGAAUUUGAGACAGCUAAAAAAACAUCAACAGAUUUGCAUAAAAUGCAGGAAAUGAAAAUCUGCUCUUACUUGCGCGACUCAUCAAACUUCCCACGCCUUAAACUGGAUUCGAAAAUGUUAAGUGCCUAUAACGAAUAAAACUUCAUUAAAAGACUACGGUUUUUCAGAAGUUAAGGUUCCACAAAUUCAGUUAGAUCAAUUUACAUACCGGCACCCAAGUACCAACUAGAAUUUCAGCCCCAGCAGCAGCAAGAGAUUUUGCUAUUGCCCAUCCAUAUCCAUGAUCAUCAGCCACUCCAGCAAUGAAUGCUCUCUUUCCUGCAAAUAGCUGUCCCAGUGUUAGAUAGAUGUGUGGAGAAUAUGAACUAAGGGAAGCAGCCUUGGAAAGCCAAAAUAUCAAUAGUUACUUCCUUUUUCCAAAACUUUGUCACCCUACCUUUGGGAUCAAAUAAUUUAAACAUCGAAAGCAAACCCACGAUCUUGCUUUGCCUUUCAAGAGUGUCUUUCUAGAUGAAAUCACAUUUCUUUUCCUAUUCUCUUGCUUUAGAACUAUAACUCUCUUGAUUUUCUGGAAUUAAAAAUCGUAAACUAGUGGCAUUCAUUAUUGACACCAACAAUAAACUAACAUCAAUUAUCAAUGAUGACGAUGACAAGGACCUUCUUGGGAAACUUCAUGACAAAUCUCUGACUCUUGUUGGCAGUAUUCUAAUUCCUGUCAUCCUUUUUAUCUGUCACUCAGUAACUUAUGCAGACACUAUGAGUUCACAAGGAUGCUGGUAUGCUAUACAAUAUGUCUAACUGUGAACCCUAAUAACUUAGUGCUUGCGCUAAGGGGAAAAGACAUAGAAUUGAUAGGGAACUGUAGCCAAGUGACUAAGUGCAAAACUUCUAUUCGUUAGUUCGAAUCCAACCAAUUCCUAGAGCGCCGCGCACUAUUGUUGGUCUAUUCUAAUUGUGUCAUUCAGCAUGUAAGUUCACGACAACUAUGAAAAACACUCAUACACAAGUUACAAAUUUGAGUACUUAAGAAAUAUACAAGAAGAAAGAUGUUUGACCUCUCAAAUCAAUAGGCAAUCCUGGCAACGGACUGUUCUCAGCUGCUCCUGACAUUGCUCUGGUGACAGCCUUUACAGAUUUCGUAGGCCCUGAUUUGAAGCUCUGGAAGAAUGGCUGCGUUGCUGAGAUGUGAGAAGAACUUUUAAGCCUUCUCCAAACUCCCACUUCACUGUUUGUACCAAAAUUUGCUGUGCCUGAAGUAUAAGUUCUUCGAGAGGAGGAUAUGGAAGGAUUAACUGCUGCCAUGUGGGAUCCAGGAGUUGUAGUCGUGGCCAUCUUAGAUACAAAUCACCAGAAACUGAAACAAACUCUGCAAGACGGAGAAGCAUAUACAUCAGUAACAGAGGUAGCAACACUAACACUCUGCUAGUAAGCUCAAACUUGUGACAUGUUAUCAGCAAUUAUUAGAGAUAUCUCUAAUUAUAAUUCUUAACAACCAACACAAGCAGUAAAUCAAACUAAUACAACCAAAAACUAGCAAUUAAUCUGUCUCAACCUGAUACAUGUAAGAUUAAACAACUUCAUCAGAGUGGUAGUAUUCAACAAAUGAAAUGCAAAAAUCUGGAGCAAAAAUAAAAACAACUAUUGGGUACCCAUUUUUGGAUUAGAUGGUAACCAAAUUAUAAUAACAAGAUUAGUUUCUUUCCAUUUCCUAAAGGUGUCUAAACAAUUGCAGCCAAUUUUACCCAAGAUCACUUAAACUAUUAGGCCAGGCUUUCAUUUUUCAUUUCCAACGUGGGAUCAUAAUACACUCAACAAAUGUCUCUACAAAACCUUAAUGAAUCAGAAAAUUUUGGAAACACAAACAACACGAGACAUUGAAUCAACCCAGUGAACAACGUUAGCGACAUGAUCAAAAGCUGUGUUUUUUAACUGAUCAGAAACCAGUGAGAUGCAUGCACACAUUCAUAGAGAGAUCCAAAGACUCACCUUUGACCUCUGCUGCAGUGUUCUGGAAGAGAAGAGCAAGGUUUUGGUUGUGUGUUUAUAUGAAAUGUGAGUGUCUGUUUUUGUGUGUGGGUUUCGAUGAAAUCGAAGUCUUGGUUUGUUGGAGAGUUGGUGUUGGGGAGCUUUGUAAAUGCCGAAUGAGGGGGUGGACACUGGACUGAGCGUUGAGCUGUGUUGUUUUUGGCGCCCUUAUGAAUGACAGUUUUGUCCUUGUUCUUAAAUGGAGCCUUUGGACUGUCAUUGCAGUGCCCCAUUUGUGCAUAUGGAUGCGAUGGGCUUAAGAUUCUGGAAGUGAAAAAUCCAAAAACAAAACUCAGUUGUGCUCAGGCCCAAACUGAAAAUCCGACGAAUCGAAUUAGGCAUGUAUAGGUCCGGAUUGGUUAGCUUCCCUUGGCCGGUUUUAGUUUUGGUUUCGGUUAUGGAGAAAAAUGGGGCUAAACUGAACUACGCUCGCCUUUAAUAUUGGAAGGUUAAUUCGAACACAUGACUUUCGAGUAUAAAGAUAACAAUUCUUAUUGGUUUAAUUAUUCGAUCAAUGGUAUAGGGAAAUUUCUAUAUACACCUACUUAGCUACCUGCUUAGUGCAUUUGAUCCUCACAUAAAAAAUUGCAAAAUUCUAAACUUUACUCCUCAUUGUAUUGAGAAUAUAUUUUUCUUAAAGUUCAACAGGUCUAGUCCAGUGAAAAAGGGGCAUUAACUUACAGAUCAAAAAUCUCAAAUUCAAAUCCCCACAAUAUCAUGGUUGUGUACGUGAAUUUCUCAAAAAAUAAAUAAAAAGAGAGGCAAAAUCAACCAUGGGGCUGCAACAGCCCAUUAUGAGAUUACCCAUUAUGGGUUGGCCCUUUACCUUUUUUUUAUUCACAGCCCACUGUGACUUGUUCUAAUUUAUAGACAAAAAACAUUACAUCACAUGAAUUUGUUGAGACAAAAAACAAUCAGUUUGGUGAAUAGUUUUAAGAACUUCUUGUAUCAGUAACAUCACUGAGUGAAUAAUAUUUUGCAAUAAAUACCUUUAUAAUAUACAUGUAGAAAUAUUUUUUCUUCAACUUUAAGAAGUUAGUCAACCAAAACAUUAUCUGGUAAAUAAUUUAAUAAAAACUGCGCUUUCAUGCAUAGUUUUCUAUUUAUCUCAUAUGUCACUAGAUUAAAAAAAAAAUUCAAGCAUAAUUUAAUAAAGUAUAAGAUCAUUAAAUAAGGUUCUUGAAUGAUAAUUUGUUUAAUAAAGCCUUAUAUGAAAUAUAUUAUUAUUAUUAUCAAGAUAUAUAAGCAGUUCCAAUAACAGUUUUUGAAAAGAAAAAAACAAUCAUAAAAAAACAUUUGUUCCAACCAAAAUUGAAUGUAGAUAUGGGAUUAGUAAAGUUGGAUAGAGUAGAUGUGCUCUCUACUAUGCACCUGAGUUUGAAUCCUCAUUUUCAUUAUUUAAAUUAGAUUAAAAUAGAAUACCGUUUGUAUAAAAAAUAAAUAAUAAAAACCAAAAUUGAAUGAAUUUUCUUUUGACAAAAUUAAAUUAUGUUAGACAUACCUUAACUGUGCCAUGCAAAAGAGGAAAACCAGAGAAAAAAGAAAAAAUGGUAAAAGAAAUAAAUUUGAGCUUACAUCAGCAACCCAGCAUAUUGGCGGCAACCCAACCCAAAUGUUUAACCCUAAUUUUAAAAUCCUCAAUUAUUUGCAUCACACAAAAAACAAUUAUUACAUCAUAUUAUUUAUUACUUAUUAUCCAGUACAACUAUUGCUGUUUUGUUAUUUAUGAUUUAUAUAUAAAAAAUAGAUAGUUAAUAUAAUAAUAUCCCAGCCAAGCUCUGGACUCUCCCACUCUCGUUUUCGAAGCCGCUUUAGUUUUUAGCCCCAGCAGCUGCUCUUCCUCUUCCAAAACCCUUCUUCUAGGGUUAGGGUUUGGGCUAGGGUUUGCCUCUAUGUUCCUUUGUCUAUCUUCUGUCUAGGGUUUUCUGUAGUAGUAAAUAGAAAUUCUUUUAUUGUUUCUGUGCUCGUUUUUAGUCGUUUGGGUUCGUUCCGGAUCUCGAUCUGUGUUCGAGAAUGAUGGAUACUCGUAAAAGAGGGCGGCAUGAAGCUGGUGCCUUCCAUGCUAAUGGUGGCUUCAAGAAGAACAAGCAAGGUUCGCUCUUUGCUUCUCCCACUCUGUUUUCUGUGAAUUUGAUAAAUUUACAUAUCUGUUAGUUUUAAGCUUUUAUUUUUUACUUUGUUUUCUAUUUGGUUUAUGCGAAGGUAUCUGAAGCUUGAAAAUUUAUCUUCUGUAAAAUAAAAAAUUUUAAAAAACCCAAGUACUGGUGUCCCUAGCAUGGCAAAUUUUUUUGUUCUACUUGGGUUUGUUGGAUUUGGAAUGUCUUUCAAAUCUAUGUGAUAUUACACGCUUCAUACUUGUUCAAGUUUAAACUGUUCCGUAUGUUCUGUUGAUGUGAAUUUGUGGCAUGUGAAAUUCUUUCCUGGUUUUUCUUAAAUCUUUGUUAUCUCAUAAUUUGCUUGUUUUUCCCAUUGUCUGUGGUUUUAUAAUGUCUCAAGUUGUUGGUAGUUUAUUAUCAGGCAAAGUUGAUUUUUGUUGUGCUUUCUUGUGCUGAACCAAUCCUUCAAAUGAAGUUACUUUGGUUGGCUGCUUUGUUUACGAAAGUCAAACAUGCCCUAUAUAAAAAAAAAAAUUAGCCGUCUUCAAUUUGCUGGUUAAUAUAGCUAGAUAAAAAUCAUGUUGUACUGGGAUUAUUUGGACUAGUACUAUACAGGUAACUAACUUUACUAAUUUUUAUUAUCUCUUUGGUUUCAAGCUUCUUAAUGGGUUUGAAAUGCUCUAGAAUAAUUGGAUUAAGGAUCAGGAGAAAAUGUAACUGAGAGGAAGUAAUUAAUGUUUUGUAACAGAAUUGGAGUCCUUUUCAACUGGUGUAGGAAGCAAAUCGAAGCCAUGCACCAAGUUUUUCAGGUUCAAAUCUUUGCCCAUCUAAGUAAAUAUAAUGAAAUGCAUCUUAUCCCUUUUAAAGGUAUUUACAAGCUUUUAUAAAAUUUCAACUUACAAUUGUUACAAAAUAAAAUCUUGUAACUGCACUAAUGAACUGGGAAUUCAUAGUUGUUAUACAGGUACGAACUUUGCUUUGGUCUAAUGAAGUUGACAAAUUCCAUGUAAUACUGCUUUAUUUAUGAAUUACAAGGAUAAGCAUCCGGUAGACUAAAUUGGGUGCUUAUGGAGUUAUAAUAAAAUUGAGCAUAGCAUGUAAUUACUUUAUAUUGUACCCUGUAGCUCAAUUAAUGUUCAUGCUUUAUCACAAAAGAUGGGUAAGACAAACUCUACUGAUAGUUUUUCCAGAUUUUAGUAAAUUUGUUUAAGCUGUUGAAACAACCCUUCUGUUGAUAAGUUGUAAUUUAUUCCCAUGCCUUCUGUUUAAGAAAUAUUAUUGAUGUGAACAUGGGUAAGAUUUAAAUUAAUUUGAAGAUGUCUUCUCUUCUUGUCGUAUAAAAUUUUAACUUAUAAUAACAUAUUUCAGUUUCAAUGGUAUGAUUUACUUGCCCGAGAAAAAAAUCUGCUUUGAAUUUAGCUCCAAAUCCUUUCUCCCCCCCUCCCUUUCAUAAUUUUUUUUUUUUUUUUUUUGGUGCUUUACAAGUGGGGCUGGGUUGAUUUGGGAUCUGUAUGGUCUUAUAGAUUCUUGUGUCUAUUAUUGACUGGUUUUCUUCUCAGUAAUAGGUAGUGAAUAAAACUUUUGAAUUGUAAAUUUGUUGAAAGUAGUAUAUGUUGCUUUGCAAUUCUCUAAAAAAAAUUAUAAUUGUAUCAGCAGGUUUUGUUAGUCAGUGAAAUAAUACUCAAAGAAAUUUAGGAAGCAAAUUUCGUUAAAGUAAAAUGAGUCCACAGAUGAAAUUGUUACUCCUAUAUAUCUGAUGGGUCCACGCCUGCAAUUAAGUGACGUUUGGACUAGAACAGUCUUUGUGAUGCAUGAUGGUGUCAUUAUCAUUUGGUCUAACCCUAUCUUAUUAACUGAAAUCACUGCUUUAUCUUAGAAGUAUGAUGGUUCAGAAUUUGUGCUUGUUUGAAUUUGGACUGAGUUAUGUCUCAACUCAAUGUAGUUGGUAUUGUAUUUUUGGAUUUGUGAUUUUGUGAAAAAUGGAGGGGGUUUGUGGGGGUUGUACGGUUCGUUUCAUUUUUAUCAUCUGAUUAGGUUUUGUCACUAAAUACUGCUAAAGGAGAUUAAGAUAAGUUUGCAAGUUAUAGUUGCUUGGUAUUGUUUGGUUAAGUGUUUCCUGUCAACCAAAAAUGUUUGUGAAAUUUAUAUUUACAUUUACAGGAACAUAGAAAAGAACAACAAUUGUUAUACUGUUGGUCCUUGGCAUACGCUAGAAGGAACUUUUGUGAUGUGAAACCUUAUUUCUUAUCUUCGAAUUGAGUGACCACUGUUGGCCUGAGUAUCCAUAUCUCUGUAGAGAAUAGUUAAUAAUUGUUUACUGUCAUCUGAUUAAAGAGCUUUAUGAUUCUGAUUGCAGCACUGCUGGCUGUCCUUUUGGCGAGAGUUGCCACUUCCUGCACUAUGUUCCUGGUGGUUAUAAUGCUGUGGCUCAGAUGAUGAAUCUUGCGCCUGCUCCUCAAGCAUCUAGGAACAUUGCUCCCCCACCAUCCAAUUCAAAUGGAUCCAGUUCAUCUGCAGUUAAAUCGCGCUUAUGCAAUAAAUAUAAUUCUGCUGAAGGCUGCAAAUUCGGUGACAAAUGCCAUUUUGCACAUGGUGAGUGGGAACUUGGCAAGCAUCUUGCUCAGUCCCACGAUGAUCCCCGUGCCAUGGGACCUGGUCCAGGCCGCAUGACCAAUUGGAUGGAGCCACCCCUUGCAGGCCCUGCAUCUAGCUUUGGUGCCUCGUCCACUGCCAAAAUCAGUGUAGAUGCUUCGCUUGCAGGAGCCAUUAUUGGGAAGGGUGGUGUAAAUUCGAAGCAGAUUUGUCGCCAGACAGGUGCCAAGCUUUCAAUCCGGGAGCAUGAGUCAGAUCCCAAUCUCAGGAACAUUGAACUAGAGGGGACCUUUGAACAGAUUCAGCAAGCAAGUGCCAUGGUGAGAGAGCUAAUUGUGACUGUUUCAAUGUCUGGCCCUGCAAAAACUCCUGGAGGAGGAGCUCCAGGGGCCCCGGCCCCUCCUGGAAGUAACUAUAAGACAAAGCUAUGCGAUAAUUUUACCAAAGGGACUUGCACCUUCGGAGAUAGAUGUCACUUUGCACACGGGGCUGCUGAAUUGCGGAAGUCUGGGAUGUGAGUGCUCUUUCAGUUUUUGCUUGCAACCUUGUACUAGUGGGAGAGCUGUUUUGAUUUGUCCAUGUGCAAUGCAACUUAGCGGAACUAACAAAAUUAUGAUAAUUUUUGGGCAUUUGGUUUCCUUUGUUUCUAGUGUAGCUUGUAGGCAUAAGUUUACUUUCUGAAUAUAUGUUUUAUAUGCUCGUCAUUUGUUUAUGUGGAAACUAGGGCAGGAUUAUUUGUCCAAAACUGUUGGUAAUUUUGAUGACACUUGCAGAACGUGGGUAGGAUUUUAAGCCUUAUAAUAACUUUUGUGUUUCAAUUGAAGUUCAUUAAGAACUGCAAACUACCUACCAAAGUACGCCGGAUUUGGAUCCUCUGCAAUGAUUUUUUCUGGCAUAAUCUUCUUUAUUUUUGUUAUUCAUACGUCAUCUCAUUAAAAUUUAAUUUAAUGGAUUUACAAGUUGACACAUCAUCCUAAAAUAAAAAUUCAAUUUACUUUUAAUUCAAAAAAGAAAAAAAAAACAUAACACUCAACCAACGAAAUAGUUAAUAUCCAAAGUUUUUUUUUUCUUCUUCUUGCUUCAGUGUCCUCUUCUCUUUUUUGGGUUCUUCCUUGCAUUUUGGGGUUUUUUCCCUCCUCAUGUCUCUCUCCAAAAAUCAAUUUUAUGGAGUAUAAUUGGCCGGAUCCAAUCAUCACCAGACAAAAGCUUUGAGUUUGUUUGAUUGUAAUUACCGACGGCUCAUAAUGAAGGACCGGAUGGAUUUUGAACUUACAGGCCUCAUGCGUUUGGUAUGACCAUGGUUCUUCUCAACUUCAAGUUGUUACUGUAAGAUUAUUAAUUCAAUUCAAUUAUGUUAUCUCAUUAAUUUUUUUGUUCUUGGUGGGUUCUUAUUCCUAAUGGGCCAUAACUCCCUUUUCUUUGGGUCUUUGGUGGGUUAUUCUUCCCAACUUCACGUUUUGGCUUUUUUGUCCAAGAAGAAGAGGCCCUGAUCUUCUUCAUCUGUCCUCCUUACGGCCUCUUGCUCUUCCUGUAAAAUCACAGCCAGAAGGAAUAAGAACCCACCAAGAACCAAUAAAAAGGAAUGAGAUAACAUAAUUGAUUUGAAUUAGUAAUCUUACAGUGACAUGAAGAGAAAAAAAAAAGUCAGAACGUAAGGAAGAAUCCAAAAAAGAGAAGAGGACAGCGACGAGAAAAAAAACAACUUAGAAUGUUAAUUAUCCCGUUAGUGGGGUGUUAGGGUUUUUUUUUCUUUUUUAAUUAGGAAUAAAUUGGGUUUUUAUUUUAGGAUUAUGCGUCAACUUGUAAAUCCAUUAGAUUAAAUUUUAAUGAGGUGGGUAUGAAGAACAAAAGUAAAGUAGAUCAUGGAAGAGAAAAUUAAAGCAGAGGAUCUGAAUCCAAAUAAGCCAAAGAGUGCAACAAAUGCCAAUCCACAAAGUUUAAUUACCAUUGAAUCCCAUUAAAGGCAUGUAAUGCUAGAGUUCCAUCUUAAUACCAAAGGAAAAACUAAGGAGAUGUCAAUCGUCAAACCAAAGGGAAGCAUCUUUUCUCUAUAACCCGCAAUAACAUGAUACAAGCAACCUCCAUUUCCAAGCAGAAACUUGCGAAUGUUGAUGGACCAAAAGCUUUUGCUUUUUUCUUUUUCUUAAUUAGCAGGGAAGAGGGAAUUCGAACUUUGAACCUCUUGCAACUUUGGAAAUAGAGGUAGUUGGUGCUCACUAAACCAAAAGCUAACUGAUAUAUUGACUCUUGAAUGGCUUUUCACCCAAGUAUCAUUAAGGCUUCCAAACCCACCCACCUCUUUGUGGCAGACAAACUUCCUCCCAAGAGACCUUUAGAAGCCUAAUGGUUAGAACAAAUACCAGCCCAUAAGAAAGAACAAAUUCUUUGUUCAAUGUCCAACAACAGUUUCUUGGGCAAGAACAAACAACCUCCUUAGGAGGCUCAAGAUUAUGAUAUUGAACAUCCAACAUCUCAUUCCUUCUUUUGAAUUUUAAGAACAUUUUUAAAGAGAUCAAUUUCACUACAGACUUAAGACACCAAUUGAAUUAUCCACACUUUUAGUCUCACAUUGUUCCAAAUUCAGUCCUCCCUGUUCUCAAAUUUGAUUUGUACGGAGGAGGUUGUCCUCGUGGUUUUGUUUUGUAGUUUUGUUUUUCCUUACUAAAAACAAAAACAAAAACGAACUUGAAGAUUACAUGAAGAUUCCAUAAAACACAUGUUGAUGCCCAAAAUGGAGUUCAACUUAAAUAGAUGUGGAGUGAUGGAUGAUGUGUGAAGACGUGAGCCUUCAGCAUGUGUAUGUGUAGUAGGCAGGUUAUUGUCUUCAGUAGUCAAUGACAUUCAGCGUAAGUAAAGUAAAUAAGCAUGCAGAAGACAAGGUAUACGUGGUUCACCCGAAUGAUUGGUUACGUCCACAGAGAAGGAUGUUCUCAUUAUGAUAAUGUUUGUUUACAUUUGUACAAGGAGAUUAGACCCAAAAAUAAAGGGAAGAAGGCCCAAGGCCUAAGUUAUAAAGCCCAAGAGUCCAAGGCCCAAGGGUCAAGACCUAAGACUCUUUUCUAAGUGGAGUGUGGUCUUUUUUUAUAGGUGAAUGGGAGUCUCCACCUCUUGUAGUCUUCUAAUGUGGGACUCUUGACAUUACCCUUAAUUAUGACUUAUGGCAAGGCUUCUUUGGCUAAGGUGACGACCUCUCAAAGCACAGUACGUGGCUGAUCUUGCUUAGCUAAUUGAUCGGUUAGUCAUGAUAUCGACAACACGUUGAAUAGAUUGUCACUUCCCAGCACAAGAUAAGGAACUUAAGUCAAUAAUUUAUCUAAUUGGUAAGAAUUUUGAUGUUGGAGUUGAAACAACUAGUAAUCUUUAGGUUUGAUAGGGUCACCAACUAGUAAAAAGGAAUAUAAUUAAAAAUAUAAUAUUUUUAAUUAACUUUUUCUCAAAAGAGUGUAAAGCCAAUUUUUAAGAGCAACUACAAUUAUACUCUCUAUUUUUUAAUUAAAAUUUAGGGAAAAUACACAAAAACUAUUUUAAGAGCUCUUUAUAAAAUUUCAACUUCAAUCAUACUUUCUAGUUUAGGGAGUCAUAAUUGCUAUAAUUCUUUUUUAAUUCAACAUAAAUGAUUCAUCUCUAUUUUUUUUUUUUUAAAUGGCAAUAUUAAUUAAAGAUUUAAAAUAGGAAGCUGAUUUUCUCACUCCUCUUUUGUCCACUUAAAUUCCUUUUGUUGGAAAUUGUAUGUUUUCACUCCUACUUUGUCCACUUACACUCCUUUGUAUGUUAGAGUAAAAAAUAUUUAAAAACAAAAUAGAGUGUAAGUGGACAAAAAGAGAGUAGGAAAAUCAUCAGCCUUAAAAUAUUCAUUAAAUAAGGCAAUAUUAAAUUAUAGGAAGUCACUAGUAGUUUAUUCUCUCUUCUCAUAUUUAGGAGCUCCUAGAGGUCUCCUUAUUUUAAAAGCUGGAUAAGAAGCAUGGUUGGAGCUGGAUAGGUGCAUUAAUUAAUUAUUACUGUAUUAAUUUUCAUUAAUGUAAGAAAAAACAAUUACAAUAAUAAAAGAGUGCUGCUAUUUGUACCCUUGUCCUAUUUUAUCAUCCAUUAUUAUGCAUUAGCCCCUGUUCACGCAUGUGCCAAUUGGUUUUAUUUUUUAUUUUUUAUUUUAUUUUUAGAAAUAAGAAAAAAUAACAUGGGUAGUUAUGUUCCAUAAAAGUAGGACCUAUUAUAUGAUUUUAUUUUUAUUUUUAAUUUUUUUAUUAUGAAAAAAAUAUGAAUUUACCAUAUUAUCCUUAUUUAAUUAAUAAUUUCAAUUCUUAUUAUUUGAAUUAACAAAGGACAUUUUCUGGAAUUUUGAAUGUUUCACUAUUUUCUAUCUUUUACUUUAUAUAUAUAGAUAAAAUACCCUUUAAUUAUUAAAAUACUACAACAUUAAUAUUUGUUUAUUACUAACAAUUUUAAUAAAAUAAUUAUUAUAAAAAUAAAACUAAACCAAAUCCAGUAUGCAAAGAUAGUUAUGCAGCUGCUGAAUAAGACUCUCGAGAUGUGACCUUGCGUUGUAGAUGAAUGACUGUAAGCAGCCAGCUUAAUUACUUUCUCUUGAUUAGUGCCCAAAAUUGGUAGGCUAUUCUUGAUCACCCCAACUGUGAAUUCUUUGUGAGAAAGAAUACAUAAUGGAUAAACUGAGACUAAGAUGAUAGAAACCUUUGGAACCUGUAGGGAUGAGUCAAUACCACCUCCCCCAACGCAGCCCCCUCUUUGGCGGCAACACUCUUAAGGCCAAGUGGGUCAUGUUCGAUAAGACCUUACUCUUUCAUCAAUACCUCUAACGUCGGUGAUGAUUACUGUUUCAUCAAUACCUCUAACGUCCGAUAAGACCUUACUCUUUCAUCAAUACCUCUAACAUUGGUGAUGAUUACGACGACGGUUGUCUCUGGUAAGGAGUUGUUGGGGAUUGUGACUAGAGUGUGGAAGGUGGUGGAUGGUUUGGGAAUGGUUGGGAAGAGGGGUCGCAUUGUCUUAAAGGCCUGUUUAGUUCAUGGGAAAUGAGAUUUGAGAAUGGAAAAUCAAUUGCUUUUCUAUGUUUGGUAAGUCUAGAUAUGAGAAUUCGUUGCUGGCUCAUGGGAAAGUACGGGGGAAAGUGAAGUCAUCCUCCCCAACUUGGGUUUUGUUUUUCCUCUUCAUGAAAAAAUUUGGAAAAAUAAGCUAACAUUAAAUACAUAUUUUUUAAGACUAUUUUAUCCCCAUUAAUAAUUUAGAAUUACAAUAUAUCAUUAAAUACAUUCUUUUUUUAUUUGAUUUAAUGUGGGUAUAAUUGAAAAUUUAUACAAACUUUUUUUUCUAUUCCUACUUUAAAAAAAUAUGGUAAAUAAAAUAAAGUGAUAUUUUUCAGUUACUUUUCCAGUAUUACCAAAUGUGAAAAAGGAAUCUUCCAUUCUCAUUCCUUGGAGAAUGUAUUGAAAAAUGAUUUCUCCUCAAAUUCAUUCUAUGAACCAAACAAGUGGGUGUAAGUUUUUAAAAAUCAUUUUACGAAGACAAUUAUAAAGAUUAGAUUUUACAGAGACAAUUUUGUCUCAUAAUACGUCUUUUCUUAAUGUUAAAGAAGAUUUUAAAGAAGAUUUAAGGCGAAUCUUCCCCGAUUUUUUUUAUAAACUUAUAAAUUUAAAAAAAAAAAUCAUUACUAAUUUUCUUAGAACCACAAGCAGUUAAUUCUUUUUGGCACUGAGACACUCUCAAUCUCUCUCAUCUCACAUAUCUAAGCAUCUUCUCAAUUGGCUGGCACUUGGUCCAAAUUUCUGAUUCAAAUUUAUAUAUAAACUUUUACACAAUGCUACCAAUUUUAUUCCAUUAAAACUUGUAAAAUAUCAAAACAAACUUCAACCACUAUGCCUUAAAAGACUUGCCCAAAAAAAAAAAACCCACGUAUUACAUAUUAACCCACCAAAAAAAAUUGGGAUUUAAAAGAUGACCUAACCCGACCCCACAACUAAUGGCCAUAGUACAUAAUCAAAGGCUCCAUUUCAACUGAAGGUCCCACCAGUUCCAUAUCCGGGUGGAUUCCCACCCACACGAGUAUUAUGGGCUGCGGUCCAACCCGUACCUGUGUUGAUCCCGAUAGGGUGCGAUUCCACUACUCCCUCCGUCACCUGGCCCGUGGGCUGCCCGGUACCAUGUCCGGGCAGCGCUGACAUUUGGUGAGCCCCAGUGGGCUGCCCUGUGGCCCCGGUUGGGGAGUAUGUGUGGGUCCCAGUGCCACUUGUUGUGUACCCCGUGGGCCCACCCACGGAUGCCUCGUGUCUAGCCGUGGCGUUGUGUGCCUUCGCCGCACACUUGUUCAGCUCGGCCUCCACCAUUCUCUCCUCCCUCUUUUGGGUUGCCAUGUCCUUUUCAACCGGGUCAUGAGCUGUCAUCUUCUCCACCUUUUUUUUUUUUGGUUGGAAAAACAAAAACAAAUGGUGAAUGAAUAAUAAAUUCAUAAAAUGAAACACAAAAAACAUGAUUAAAAUAAAACACAUGAAAUAAAACCUUUUCUUGCACUGUGGCUUUGGUCUUGUCCAUGCCAGACUUAGCAGAGGCUGCUACAUUAGCAGCCGUUUCUUUCACGGACCCCUUUACGUUCUUCCCAGACUGCAUUUUCAGCUCACUUCCUUUUUCUUUCCUUUUUUUUUUUUUUUUCCAAUCCAAAUAAUUUGUCUCAAACUUUGUUUUUUAGCACACUGUAGCAAGUUAAUAUGGUGCGCUUCAAAUAGGCUCAAAGGACGUGUUGGAGUCGCGACACGUGGAAUAAUAGAGAGUUUAGGUGGGCGCUGGAGAGAACAUCACGAUCCCUGUAUUGACACGAUGCAGACACGUGUCAGAGCGUGCUGACAGUGUUGAUGACGCAGCAGUUGGGAAAGUUUAUAUGGUUGCGACACGAAGAUGAUAAUAAUGACACGUGUCGUUUGCGUGUAUCUGCAAUCACCCGAAAAAAAAACACAUAACACAAAACCAAAAAAAAAAAAAGCAUAUAAAUAGAAUGAAAAUAACUCAAUUGAACCAAGCAUUUAAAGAGAGUUCGUUGUUUCCCGAUAUGCUUGGAUGAUUAGGUUAACAAUUGAAUCAUGAACCUAUCACAAUCGGAACUUAAAUUAGACUAACAAUUGCAUCAUGCACCUAACGCAAUUGAACCAUACAAAACUAAACCCUAUAUUACACUACAAUCAUUAUGAUUUUAACAGAGAGAUUUCAUUCUCACUAAUUUAAACCGAAACUCAAUUCAAUAUAUUUUAAAAAAAUUCCCUAAUUUAAACCGAUACUCACUACCAAAAAAAAAAGAGUGCUACGGUUUUGAAAACCCCAAUUUUAUUUCGAAACAACCCUAAUACAUACUUUUAUUAAGGAAAAAUGGGGAUCAGAUCAAUUUUGUUCUUAAAUUAUUGUUCAGGUUGCUUGAUUAUUUAGUUCAUUUGAAAUAUUUGAGUUAGAUUCGACAAUAUGUUUUAGAAAGUUUUAUACGAAACAUGUUUCAAUAAAGCAAGGAACUUUUAACUUAAUCCGGUAGAUAGCUAAGAUAUAGAUUGGAGAAAAUUAGGUCAGACGGUACUAUUUUACGUGCAUCUUUAAGUAAACAAAUUGACUCUAAAAAGAAAAAGAAUCAUCCUCAACAAACGAGAGAGAGAGAGAGAUAACAACAUGAAAGUAGAUCACCUUAUUGAACUUUGAUAAGAUGUUUGUGUUAAAAGUCAUCUAAGUUUGCUUACCUUGUCUAUUGAACUUUAAUGAGACGUACGUGUUGGUCUCUUGUAUAAAUAGACAGAGAGUUCCAAAGUUAUGAGUUUGUCUAAGCUAGAUGCAAUGCAUCAUGAAAUUUUGUACAAUUUUAUGUAGAUGGUCUACUCUCUUGUAUAAAUACGGAGUUUGGGAUUCUAUGAAAUUCACUAAGAGAAGACAGACAAGUCAUGUCCUAUCAGUUUGAAAAUAAGCCAUGAUUAAGACAAGUCUUACCUGAAUAUUCAAUUCUGGAGAUCUAACAUUGUGGGAAUGAAUAUUCAUAUCAAAUUUGGUCAGCAUUUAAACAUAACUUUGCUUCCUUGAUUCUAAAUAUUUAUAUGAAAUAUAGUCAGCAUUUAAACAUGUGCUUAAUUCUCAACUUAGUUAUAAAAAGUCUCAAGAUUGAAUUAUUAUUCUACUAUAUAAAUUUACAGAAGGGCACUUCGAAUGGAAAUUACCUUUUUUUAUUUAUUUAAAGAUGAGAGGAAAUUUGAUUUUGGGAAAUUGUCAAACAUUUGAAUAAAAUAAAAAAGUGUUGCAAAAAUGUAGCAACACAUGGUAGGCACCACUGAGUUGAUUACCACGAAACAUUUCUCCAACCACUUUUACAACGGAAGAAAAUUUGACGCACAUUUCCUCAAAAUUCAAAUCGACGGUUGAGAGGAGUAAUAGUAACACAAUAGUGAACCGGAGACGGACGGCCAACUCCCGAAACCUACUUUCUUUUAUGACAAAAUUAAUAAAGCCUAAUUAGUCACGAAAUAUGGUUACGUUGUUUAAUUUAUUUGCGUGUUUAUAUUAUAACUUGAUUCACAAAAAAAAGUUUGAUUGAAAAUGAUUUUAGGAAGCAAAGUUAUGUUAGGAAAGUAACCAAAAAAUAUCACUUUAUUGCAUUUCCAUAUUUGGUUUGCGUAGAAAUGUAAAAUAAAGUUGAUUUAAUUUUCCAAUUAUAUCCAUACGAAAUCAAAUUAAAAAAAGAAUGCAUUUAAUGUUAUAUUGUAAUUCUAAAUUGUUAAUGAGGACAAAAUGAUCAUGAAAAAUAUACAUUUAAUACUGACUCAUUUUUCAAAGUUUCACACAAAAAGGGAAAAUGAAACUAAGGAGGAGAUGAGUUACAUUUUUCCCCUAUUCCUUAUGUACAAAACAACCAUUUCUCAUGUCUGGACUUAUCAAAUAUGAGAAAACAAAUGAUUUUCCAUCCUCAAGCCUCAUUUUUCAUGUACCAAACACAGCCUAAAGGGAAUAUCAACCAUUUUGUCUACCCAUAUUAUAACACGUGUACAAGUUAUACCCCGUAACCAUACUCCAAUACCAUUAUAUAAUUUCUCAAAAAAGCUACAACUUUAAAACUUCAAUGAUGGACUUCCCCAUCCAACACAAUGACAUCAUCACCUCAACUUAAGAACAUUUAAGUUUUUUGGUCAAAGAAGAACAUUUAAGUUUAAAAAGUCUUAUUUAUAGACAAUUUAAAUUCAAAAAGGACCAGUGCUACUUGGCGAUGUGACACACCUAGCACCGUGGUUAGAGCAUUCACAAUAGGCUCUCUAAAUCAUCUCAUGAGACAAAUUUUAGGGAGGAAUUCGAAAAAUACAACUCCAACCAUGCUCCCUAUUUACCUUCUAAAAUUGAGAGACUUGUAGGGGCUCCUAAAUCUGAGGAGAGAGAAAAGACUCCUAGUUGCUCCCUAUAAUUUAAUGCUGCUUUAUUUAAAGUGUAUUUCAAACCUUUAAUUAAUGCCAACUAUUUUUUAUAUUAUUUUUAAUAGAGAUGGACCAAUUAAAAAAGAGUUAUAGCAUUUAUGACUCCCUAAACUAGAUAGCAUUAUUGUAUUUUAAAUUUUAUAGAGAACUCCUAAAAUAAAUUUUAUAUGUUUUUAGUUAAAAUUUAACUAAAAAAUAGAGAACAUGAUUGUGGAUGCUUUUAGAGCAUCUCCAACCGAUAUAUCAAAUUGUCACAUGGACAUGAAAUGACAAAAAUUGAAGGCUAAAGUUAGUCCAAUCGAGUAGUCAAAUCUUAUAUAGAUUUGAAGGUUGGAAGAGAUAUGUCAAACAUAACAUAUCAAAAAACUUGAUGUCAAAUAUUAUUUUAAUAUAUUUUUUAGUCAUGUACCCCACUAUCAUUUACUCACUUUAAAAAAUUUAUGCAUCAUAUGGGCCCCAUUUGUUUUUAAAAAUAUAUAAUAAAAUAAUAUGAUAUUUGGCAUUUCGGGUGGAGUUAAAUUUUUUUUCAAAGUGUCAAAUUGCCACAUAAGUCAUCAAAUUCAAAUUUAACAUUUGACAUCUCCCUUUGAAAUGAUUUUAGAGGCCAUCACAGCACAUCGUGUGUCAAAUAAGUAACACGUCUUUCUAAUUUUUUAUUAUUUAUUAAAUCAUUGAAGAUAAAGAGAUUUUAUGACGUCAAAUUUGGAGGAUGUGACAUGAAAGUGUAAAUAAUUAUAAAAAAAGAAAAAGAAAUGCAAAUGUCAAAAAAAUAAUAAUAUAAACGAUUUAUUUUCAAUCGAGAUAGUUCCGGAACUAGGUCAAACAAUCUACUAAAUACACCGAAUAAAAUUAGUUGCGAUAUGAUUUUGUUUGAUUCAAAAUAACCCUUUAUUAGAUCAAGUGGCCGUUAAUGGGGUUUAAGGGUUCGUUUGAGAGUGAUUCUAUAUAGACAAGAAUCACUUCUGAGAAGAAGUACUUCCCCAUGUGCUUCUUCAAAUAAUCAUUUUUAGUUAUUUUAAGCGAUUAUAGAGAAGUGAUUCUAGGUUCGAAUUUGCACAACAUCAUGAUAGUGUGUGUGAAGACACCAUUUCCUAUAGUUUAUAUUGUUGCUUAUACUAAAAAAGGGUGAUGAUUUUCUCACUUACAUUCCCUUCUGUUUAAAAAAAAUAAUAUUUACUAUAACAAAAAAAUAGUGUAAGUAGACAAAAGAGAAGUGGGAACAUCUCCCAAAAAACAUUAUCAAAUAAAAUGGCUCAAAUUUGAUCAUAACCCUAUUUUUGGUUGGGUUAUUUUUCUUGACCUUUUAUUAUUAUUAUUCUAGCCUCUUGGCACAUGCUCAUGUAUGUGUCAAUUAGUUUUUUUUUAAAAUUUUUAAAAUUAAGAAAAGAUAAUAUAGGUAGUUAAGUUCCAUAAAAAUAGGACUUAUUAUUUAAUUUUGUUUUUAAUUUUAAAAUUUUUAAUUAAAAAAAUGUAAAUUUAUUAUAUUAUUCUUAUUUAAUUAAUAAUUUUAAUUAUUAAUGUUUGAAUUUCGUUGGCAUGUAAAUUUAAAGCUUAUGUUUUUAUGUGUAGGUGUUGAGUGCUGGUACUGGCCACCCGCAUAUAAGCGGCAAUUGCCUAUCGCGCCAUAAUUUCCACAAUCGUCACCCUAAUGCAGCCCAUAAUUACGAAAAACCUCAAAUCCCAACACGUCGUUUCACGAACUCAGCAGGGGCCACUCUCGUCAUUACAAAAAAUUCAACAGCACCAGGAGGGCCAACCCACACUGACACUGACACAUACACGUGAUAGCACAGAGAUAUUUUUUUAUUUUUUUAUUUUUUUUGUUACAAGAUAUUUAUUUUUUUCACUUUCUCUUACAUGGGUAGGCACGUCCCAUCCCCGACGUCGAAAGUGCGUGGGAAAAUAGACGGUCAGUAUCGAAUGUAAAAUCAGUUAAAAGCCUGAGGCAGAGCAUCGAUCGUGUCACGCAAAGCAAGCAAAAGUUACCGAGGAGAUCGAAUCAGCUGUGGCCACGUCAUCAGAUAUACAAAGUCCGAAGAAAUCCGUGGCCCCGUCUCGUAACCCGUGGGUCCCACAGAUAUGGCAAAGCGGGAGGGAAGCCAAAGCUUAAAUAGUCGUGGCCUCAGGCCCUCCUGGACACUUCAAAAGGGCCGGCGCUUCCUCCUUAUACAACAGGCCACCGAGCCCAAGAGCGAGAGAGAGAGAGCGUGGAGAGAGAAGAGCUUCUUGUUCAGGUACUCUCUCUCUAGUUUUUUUUAUUCAUUUUGCUUCUGGUUGAUUGUUUCUGUUUGGUUUGGCUUGUCAAAUUCGGAGUUUUCUACUUGCAUUUCGCUGUUUUUGAUUGAAUGUGAUUUCAUUUUGUAUGUUUGAGCUCCAUUUCCUGCUUCAAUGGCGUAAUCUGGAUUAGAUCUAGGCGUUAAUGGUUUUCUAUGGAGAUUCAGAUCUUCGUGUUCGUUUGCGACUGCAACUCCAAUUUUAUUUCCCUUUUUCUUUUAAACGCCUACGAUUUUGAGCUAGAUUAUUAUAAUGCUACUAAUAUGAUUUUUUAAGCUCGUUCAUUCUCUAUGGAGAUUCAGAUCUUCCUGUUCGUUUGCAACUCCAUCUCCUUUUAUUUUUCCUUCUCUUUUUCAACGGCUACGAUUUUGAGCUGUAUUAUUAGAUGCAACUGGUAUUCUUCUUUUAUAUAAUAUACAUAUAUAUAUUUCUAUAUAUUUCUAUUUUUAUGGUUGAUUUAAAAGAAUUGAGCAUUUCGAAGUCCGAUCUGACUCAUAUGAGCGUAACAGUCUGGAUUUUUUGUCGCGUUAUUUGCCUUGGUCCUUUCACACAUGAUAUCUGUCGUCAUCUCUCACACCUUAUUUUCAAGUAUUAAAUUAUUUUUCAUCAUUUUUACGGUUAAUAUUAUAAUUUAAUAUUAGUUAAUAUGGAUUCCGGUUUUUUCUGUUUGAGAAAAAUAAUAGUCCGUUUUUAUGCGGUCCCCCCCAUCACGCCCGAAUUUUCUGACCAUUCGUCUUCGUUCUCGUUUUUCCUUCUUGGCUCCUUACGUUUAAAUGCCGCGUUUUAUUGGGGCGGUUGCAAGUGCGUCCUGACUAUUUUGCACAUAUUCGUGAUAACUUUUUCUCGGCUGAUAAUUUUGUAACUUUGCGAAGCUUUGGCUAGGUUUGUUUUGAGAAUUUGAAAUUCCAACGAGAAAUUCAUUGUAGCUCCGUAACAGUGUUUUAAGAAUAUUCAAAGAACGAUAUUAUGAUUGGAAUUUCAAUUUUGGUUGGCAAGUUGGCAACAAAUUAAAUUUGAUAUUUUUUGGGCCAUGGGCAAGUUGGAAAUGUUCGGCACAUUAGGAAAAUAAUCUGGUCAAAAUCAAAGCUUUAUCGUCAAGUCCAUCAUGCGUAGAGGAAAAUGAGUUUUGUUUGUCAUUUAUUAAUAUUUAAUUAACCUUGACCGAAUGGUUGACCUGAUCCUGAUAUUGGGAGAGCCAAACAAUUUCUCUUCCGCAGGUGCUGUAGUAACGUUGAACCUGUAUAAAAUAUGCUUAUUUUUACUUUCUUUAUUCAAGUUUGAGAGGCGUAAGGGAUACCUUCACGUGACACGCCUCAAUUCCUUGUCUGUUUAGAUUCAUUGAGGAUUGAGAAGUCUGCCCAUCAUAUGUUUAUAUUCAUUUUUUCAAUUUCUUCUAGUUUGGUGCGUUGCAACUUGCAACUAGCAUGAGGGCUUGUUUCUUUAUUGCCUAUGUGGGGUAGCAGUCGGCACAUAAUUAAAGUUGUGGUGGGUCCUAAGGAAUAUCAAAUAAAACCAAGAAAACUCUAUUUAUUCAAAUCACCUUUUUUCGCAAGACUUUGUUGUUGGUACUUUUUACGUCUAAUUUAAGGGUCAGUCCCCACCAAUUGUAUUCAAGUUUGAGUUACCCGUCUAUUAUUAACACAAAAAAACACUAAUUUCAAUUUUUAUUCCUUAAAAUUGUGGCAUGCAUUAAACAUCCUCUAGGUUUAUAUGUGCUUGUUCUACUUGAUUUGAAAUUCUGGUGUGACUUAUUGUAUAUAAAGACUUGAGUUGGGUUUGUAGUCAAAUUGUCCGUUAUGCAUAGUGGAUCUAAUUAGAGCAUUUAUUAGGAGUCCUUUCUCUCUCUUCAGAUUUAGGAGCUCCUAGAGGUCUCCCUAUUUUAGGAGGUGGAUAGAGAGCAUAGUUGGAGUUGCAUUUUUCCAAAUGCUCCCUAAAAUUUGUCUAAGGAGGUGAUUUAGAGAGCCUAUUGUGAAUGCUCUUAGUGACACAAACUCCUAGUUUAUAUUUGAGUGAUUAGUCUUUGCCAUCUCUGUCUCAGCUGUUAAAAAUAAUAUGUAACAAAACCAGGGAAGCUUGUCGGUACGUUUACACUGGUUAAUAGUAGCGGCAAUAACUUAGAUCAAAUUGGUUGUGUGAUGUAAAGAGCUCCUCUACUUGUAUGUUGGAUUCUUUUGGAUAUUCCACUUGCCUUUCUGGUUGGUUUUGGUCCGUUUACUUUGGCACUUUGUUUCUGAGUGGUCGUCGUGUGAGGCUUGAACCUCCAAAUAUCUCAAUCGGUUGGUGUAUUUUUAAUUCAACGUUUGCGGUGUUUCAUUUUUUUGGUGCUCUUCGAUUCAGCCAAUGAGGAAACCCGCCUAGCCGUAGUCACUCUCGAGGUCUACAGGGAGGAAUAUGUGAGAGAUCCGAGGAAUAAAAUUAUUUAUAAUUGUUUCAUGUCUUUUACCUUUAUCCUUACUAAUAUCUCCUUUUCGUUUCUUGGUGUUGAUAUCCUAUAAACUAGUAUAUAACUAUUGAAAUCCUGUUGUGGCACUACAAUUGAAUUAUUCUGUUUUGGUGGUGCAUUAUGGACUAACCUCCUUUUGACAAUUACAUUAUACUCAAGAGAUUCGUUCUUCUUUCUUUGCAGAUUUAGGAGCAAUGGGUGCCGGUGGAAGAAUGUCCGCACCCCCUACCCGUAAGAACGCUGAAACCGACAACCCCAAGCGAGUGCCAUACUCAAAACCUCCAUUCAGUCUCGGCCAGAUCAAGAAAGCCAUCCCACCUCAUUGCUUUCAGCGCUCUGUUAUCCGCUCCUUCUCCUAUGUCUUUUAUGACCUUACCAUUGCCUUUCUCCUGUACUACAUUGCUUGCAAUUACAUCCAGCCUCUCUCUCAACCUUUCUCUUUCUUGGCGUGGCCAGUUUACUGGUAUGUUCAGGGCUGUGUCCUGACUGGUGUUUGGGUGAUAGCGCAUGAGUGUGGUCACCAUGCUUUUAGUGAUUAUCAAUGGCUGGAUGACACAGUCGGUCUAAUCCUCCACUCUGCCCUCCUUGUGCCUUACUUUUCUUGGAAGUAUAGCCAUCGCCGUCACCACUCUAACACAGGUUCCAUUGAGCGAGAUGAGGUCUUUGUCCCCAAGCAGAAGUCUGCUAUUGGAUGGUACUCCAAAUAUCUAAACAACCCACCGGGCAGGUUCCUUACACUCACCAUCCAACUCACUCUAGGCUGGCCUCUGUAUCUGGCUUUCAAUGUUUCAGGGAGGCACUAUGAAGGCUUUGCUUGCCACUACCAUCCAUAUGGCCCCAUCUUCUCCGAUCGUGAACGAUUGCAGAUUUUCCUUUCUGAUGCCGGUGUUCUUGCAGUCGUAUAUGGGCUAUACCGUCUAGCUGUGGCGAAAGGGCUUGCUUGGGUUGUAUGCUAUUAUGGAGGACCUUUGAUGGUGGUGAAUGGAUUUUUGGUGCUGAUCACAUACUUGCAGCACACACACCCUUCAUUGCCACACUACGAUUCCUCAGAAUGGGACUGGUUGAGAGGAGCUUUGGCAACAGUUGACAGAGAUUACGGCAUCCUGAACAAGGUUUUCCAUAACAUCACAGACACUCAUGUUGCUCACCAUUUGUUCUCAACCAUGCCACAUUACCAUGCAAUGGAGGCCACCAAAGCUAUCAAGCCGAUUUUGGGCGAUUACUAUCAGUUGGACAGGACGCCGGUUUUCAAGGCAAUGUUCAGGGAGGCAAAGGAGUGUAUUUAUGUUGAGCGAGAUGAGGGUGACAAGAAAGGUGUCUUCUGGUACAAUAAUAAGUUAUAAAUGUGAUUAUCAAAAUUGCCCGAAUGAGUGUAGGGGGAGUUUUAAGUUCUUGUAAUGGAUCCGAGCUUCCCCUUUCACUCAUGAAUUAGGUUUCUUUCGUCGCUUGGGACUCUACUUUAAUAUGACUAGUUGUGCUAUUUCAAUAAUUUUCUCACCCCUAUUUAUUGUAGAAUGCAAGAAUGUUCUGUGCUACGUUCCUUUCUUUCCCCUCCAAUGAAUGUGCUUAAUUUCCUAAGCAAAAAGCUUCCAAAGGCCUAAUGAAAAAUGGAACGUGCUAAACCAAUUCUGAAUAUUUUCAUUUUCAUUUUCAUUUUUGCGGUUGAGAAAGACUCAAGAGAGUCGUUUUAACUUGGAACUCAAUUUCUGUGGCACAAUGAAUCCCUGAACGAGAGGGAGGCAGGCUAAAUGAAAUGAUAACACAUGGGCUUUGCUCAGCCACAGGACAAUACUGAUCCAUUCCAUCUGUCUUUGCUGCUUCAUUUAUAUUUGGCACUCUCACCCACUCUAUCUUCAACCCGUUUUUGAGGGAUGUGGAAGAAUAAAAUCCAAGGGCUCCUUUGGUGAGCUAGAUUAUAUGGUUGGAUAGAACUAAUAAUCCUAGUCAAGUGUUUGGUGGUCUAAAAAUAACUUGGAAUGGAUUAUGUCUACUGGAGCCUAAAUGUAGUAGAAUUAUGAAUCCCACCAAAAUGGGAUUGGAUUAUGUCUAUAAUCAUGCUAGACUAUAUAAUACAUUAUUGGAUUAGUAUUAUCCUUUCCGAUCAAAUGUAAUCCAAUCCAAUUUCAAUCGGGAAACAUGACCCCAAAUGUCCAAACAUGAGUGUAAAUUGCAAUAUAGCCCGUGGUGAGUUCGGAAUUUGGAAGAAUAUUACUCUUCAUUUUAUUUCAUCAGAAAGAAAAAUAAAAUUGAAUUAAAUGAGUGAGUUGUAAAGAAGGAUACAGUAAAUGAGUUAAGGAUUUCUCGACGAAGUGUUCGAUUUACUCCAUGUAACAAAAGUAAAAGGUAAAUGUGAGUUUGGCCAGUUAGUCAAGACAAAACAAAACAAAAAUUUAAAUAUCGACCAAAAUAUAUAUAUAUAUAUGUUUACUGGAGUAGCCCAAUCGAUGUAUCUAGUAUAAACUUCAGCCCAGGCUUAAUUACACUGGCCCAAUAUGCUCAUCUAUUAUUCCAGGCCCUGUUAUCAUAAGAGGCUUCAGCGAAAAAAUAAAUUAGAAAUCUGCAAUCCAGUUUACAACCCUACCACAGAAGCCCAUUAUGUUGUUACAUAAUCCUUUUAACCACACCAAUAUAUAUAAUGAAUUGGAUUAUUAUUAUUUUAAUAAUGUUGUAAAUUACGAACUUGAAAGGUAUGAAUUUCUUAAUGGGAAUGGAUUAUCUGAAUCCUGAUUACUAUGUAUGACUAAAUCAAAGUUUACAAUCAAUGUCAGCAUCCUCAAUCCUGGGUUUCAUAACAUCAAGGGGAAAUUGACAUCAAAUCACGACCAUUUCAAAAUCCUGUCGACGUUCGAUGGUUAUUAUUUCUUAAUUAAACCAUAUUAAGUUGGUAUUAUUUUCCAUCAGUCAACGGUAAAUGCAUACUUACAUGUUUCCAUGGCCAAUAGAAUGACUUGCCAUAAGAACAGAAAAUCAGAUUUAUAAGUAACCUUGAAUAUCUACAAGUCAAAAGAUUUCUUAGGCAAACAUUUGGGUUACUUGAUUUGUACUUCAAAAAGAAAAGCAAGACAAUGAGAAGUGAAAUCUCUGGACCACAAAUCAACCAUGAAAGCAACUGGUAACUAAACACAUGCAAAAAAAAAAGUCCAAUAAUGUAUGUACUACUAAUUCUUUACAUGUACACAUCAAUUGGUCUAUGAUAUUAAUUUGAUGUAUAGAGAAGAAUCUUGUAUAUUAGGUCAUACAACUAAUGUUAUAAGAAGAAAAAAAAUUGUGUCUAGUGGAAAAUUGAAAUAUAUCUUGCUUGCAUAUGCAUAUUUCUUUUGUUAAACUAUUAAAACAACGUUACGUUGUCGAAUUGUGAAUAUAGACAAUUUGACAAUUUAUUAAAUUGAUUCUUAUUUGAACGUGCGAGUUAAAUUGAUUCUUAGUCGAACCUUCUCCAGAAAAUUCAAAACUGUAUGGUUAACCUAAAAAAGGGUUGAGUGUUUUUAGGUCAUGUAUAUGGGUAGGCCAGCUUCAAAUAAUAUGAAUAUGAAUUACCGUGGGUAGGAAAAGGAAGCCUUUCUAGGCACAGAAGUUACCAAAUAGUGCAAUAUAUAGUACUUUUACUGUGCACUCGCAGUCUCAGAAUACAUGCAAACUGUAAGAUAAAAUCAUCUGCAACUGCAUGUGCAUGUCAGAUUCAAACUGAUCAUCAUCACGUGCAACAACUCCUUAAUUUCACAUUCAAUUUUACAGGAAGUAACCAUAUAUUCUGCAUGUGUUGGUUUGUUUGAGUCUGGUUUCAUAAGCGGAUAUUAUGGCGAGUACGUACAAACAUGUGACAUCUAUGCCAUAAAUAUAUAUAUGUUUCUUUCUUUCUGUUCCUGCAUAGUGCCUAAAAUGAACUAGCUAGUAGCUUCUGUGUUCCAUAAUCAUUGCCAUCUCUGCCACGAAGUUAUAUACAUACAUACAUAUAUAUAUAUAUAUGUAUAUGUAUUAUUGAAGAAUAUAAGCAUACAUGUAUCAUGAUCUGGGGUGUCCAAAGAGAAAGUAGCCUAUCUAGCCUUAAUCAUUUCUGGCAGGACUAUAUAUAGCACCAAUUCUGGUUACACGCCAUACUAAUAUAGGGUGCCAUUGUUCCAUCACAUCCACUGCGGCCUAGCAACCCUAAUGUGAAACACAUAAUAUAAUUAAAGAGAAGACCUAAAUCCAUAUAUGCAUAUGUAUAUGUUUAUACCAUAUUUGAUCAGUCAAUAAGAGAACUAUACUGAAAUAAAGGACUCAUAAGGAGGAUUCACUAAAACUAGCAAUCUAUUAUGUCCCACAAAGUACCAUUGGCAGGUUGUGAGCCUUCGGCACCAUGACUUGCCGAUCAUGGCUAAAGACCGCGCUUCAUUAGAGAUUUCUCACAAAAACACGUGGCAUCCCCUCAGGCGAAGUCCACAGUUCUACAUCAAAAUCUCACUCAAGAUGCACAUCUCCCAAGAUCUAUAAAAAAAACAAAGUAACUGUGACAUUUGACUACUUAGCCACCACUAUGUCCAAAUCACUAUUCACUUUAUACUCGGUACUAACUUAAGCAUUGAAAAGCCUUCAACCGGUACCACACCGAUGCCCAGGACCUCAUUGCUCUUUCUUCAUUUUGCAGCUAUCCAACCUGCCAAAGAGCACAUAAGAGCCGAAGGCAAUAUUGUCACAUCCUGGGAUUGCUCUAGCCCCCAACUCGCUUAACUUCGGAGUUCCUACGACUCCGAAGCCAGUGAGCUCCCAAAAGGCCUCGUGCUAGAUGGAUGCGGAUGUGCACAUAUAAGGCACAUCACCCCCUCUCCGUUGGUCGAUGUGAGAUCUUACAAUCCACCCCCCUUAAGGGCCCGACGUCCUCGUCGGCACACUCGCACCACACGGCAGAGUGGCUCUGAUACCAAAUUGUCACAUCCCGGGAUCGGCUCCGCCGUAGCACGAUAUUGUCCGCUUUGGGCCCCCCUCUCUGCCCUCACGGUUUUGUUUCUAGGAGCUCAUGAGCAACUUCCCAGUGGGUCACCCAUCCUGGGAUUGCUCUAGCCUCCAACUCGCUUAACUUCAGAGUUCCUACGACUCCGAAGCCAGUGAGCUCCCAAAAGGCCUCGUGCUAGAUGGAUGCGGAUGUGCACAUAUAAGGCACAUCACCCCCUCUCCUUUGGACGAUGUGGGAUCUUACAAAUAUGAUCAUUAAGUUGGGUCCAAAAGUAUCUGACCAUUUUUUAGCAUCAACAAAAUAUAUAUUCCUUUUUUAUUGAGAGAUCCCUCAAAUAAUUUUAUUUGAAAAACAUCCUUUAAUGUUCACUAUAAAUUUUUUUAAUAAUUAAGUGGUACUUUAGAAAAGUACUUGAAUUUUAAUAAUUUAUAAUUAAGUAGCCAAAUGACAUUGGAUUCAAGUGAUUUUUUAUAAUGAUGAUCUUUGAAUGAAUAUCUAUAAAAUAGACUGUUUAGAUUAAUAAAAUACAAUAAUAAUAAGUAAUUUCUACAAAAAUGUCCCUCAAAUAAAAACUCUAUCUCUAUAUAUAUCUCUUCAAUAAUAUAUACCAACCCUUAAAAAAAAAUAAUAUAUAUAUAUAUAUAUAUAUAGCAACCCUAAAAGCUAGUCAAGCUAGUCAAGCUAGGUGGACAAACUUUAUAGCUAUUAUUGUGAUCUUUAUUAGGCAAUUUACCAAUCAAUGUAAGAUCAUCACUCCAUGGUAAAUAAUUAAACGUGUGUACGGUCAAUUGAUUCAAAUUUGAAAUGAUGGUAAAUUAUUAGAUUGUGGUUUUCAAAUGAGUUAUGCACGCAUUAAGAAUUUUAUAAUAAAUUUGUAAUUUAAAUGGUUAAAAACAUUUACUUAUACAGUUAAAAUUAUUUUCAAAUAGGCUUGCCAUAAUCCCUUGGAGUAGAUUUUGUAAGAAUAUAAAAUUGUGAUUCAUAUUAUAAUAACACACAUGCUAAGUACGUGAUAAAUCCAUCCUUGUUCAAAGCUUUGGGAUGGAAUGAGUGAUAAGCAUUAUUUCAUUAAGAAUUUUUUUGAAAAGGAGUGGAAGACUGGUAAGAAAAAAUGCAGCGCAAGACACAUGUUGGGAAAAAGCUGACAGGAUCCAGCUAAGCAUAACACGAGAGUGCGGUCGUGCAACCCAAGUUCGUAAUUAUUACCCAAAAAUCCUAAUUAGUAAUUAAGACGUCAAUAAAGAGUGGCCUCGCACUCGUUGGAUUGGCUCCUGCUCUUGGAAGCAGCGGACGGCACGCACGUCGCCACGUGGCAGUUAAGAUUGAGUCUUUGCUCUGCCAUCCCGGGGCCGGCACUGGACUCGUGUGCUCUCUCUCUCUCUCUCUCUCUGAUGACGCAAAACGCAUCACCAUGGGUGUCAGUUCAUCACGUGCACAUCCGACGGUUAUUAUUUUCUGAUCAGAACGGAAGAUCGACCGGUACAUACACUGUACACAUAAUAUCCAAUUGAAUAUCUAUAAUAUUUCCUCUGCGGCCGGCUAUUAAUUAUUUUUCAUUAGUUCUCCUAAGCAUAGCAUGAAAAAUGAAGAGCUCUAACACAAAUGAUUGAUUUUCUAAACCUUAGAUAGAUGUGCUGUAAUCCAUAGAUAAUACAAAUACGAUCAUGAUUAUUCAGACACGAACGUUUGUAUUUUACAUUAAUAGAAACGAUGAUUCUGUUUAUCAGUGUUAUCUUUGUGUAUAGAAAUACAAUGAUGUUUUCAUACACAAUAGUCCUUACUCAAUUCUGUUAGGAAAUUAGCCCCAUUUAGAAGAAAAAUGGUAAGCUGCCAGCUACCUAGCUCGUACAAAUUGUAUAUAAUAUACAUAUAAAUUGAUGUAAUUAGACAAGAAUUACAAGGAAGGUUUUUUGUUGUAAAAAAAAGCCUUUUAUAUAUUCAAUUGAAGUAAAAGAAUAAAGUAAAAGUUGCAAAUUAAAAAGGAUGACUAACCAAUUUAGGGUUGCGUUCUCAUUAGCAUGACAUGCACGAACGAUCGUGUAAAAAGUCAAAAAAGUGAAAGCUAAACAUCAUGGCAGUUGCACCAAUUGUAAAAGGUCACGUGCCAUGUGACCUCCCCACUGAGCAAUUCUCACCUAAACAACCC